This 60848-nucleotide long non-coding RNA is filed under the name Coffea arabica (coffee). Its description in RNAcentral is "long non-coding RNA (CARA_LNC003160)". Lineage: Eukaryota; Viridiplantae; Streptophyta; Magnoliopsida; Gentianales; Rubiaceae. The record is from RNAcentral.
UUUUUUUUUCUUUUUUUUUUUUGGUGGUCUUUCUAUCUCUGGCUCUUCAAAGAUUCUAUAUUUUUACAGUAGCCUCUCAAAAAUCAGUAUAAUAAAUUGUAGUCCAAAGAACUUAUUUGGUUAGCUUAAAGAAUAUACGUACACAAACAAAAUGAUUUGCAAAUUAAUGCAUAAGUUAAAGGUUCAAAGACUUGCUUCCUUGCCGACUACUGCUUGCUUAGGAAUGAUAACAGGUGGAAAUGGAAUAUAAGCUAUUAUUAAGAAAUUGUUUUUGCUUGGUUUUCACUUUUGUGUAGGUCAAGUUCUUGUGGCUUGCUUAAUCUCCAGAGCUAGCUGGCUGGUCGGCGCAUUUCAUCAGUCUCAUCAGUAUAAAUCUAUUGAUCAAAUCUCAAUUUGUCUUUGCUAAUUUUUCUUUUCCUAACCUAAGAAGUCUGGGUGUAAAUACACAAAUUUCGUUAACUUCAGAUUACAAUUUCUUUGACAUUUUGUUUAGGUAAAUGCAGCUCAAUGUACAUAUAUAUGCCGACUUGAAAAUCACUGUAAUAUUUACAAUGGUAAAUUACAUAUAACUCCCAUGUGGUUUCAUCUAUUACCACAUGACCCUCCUAACGUUUCAAAAUGUCCAUUUCAUACCCCUAUGGUUUUAUAUAAAGUGAAAAUUUGACAACAAACAACCUAUAUAACGUCGUUAGUUGAAAUAUCAAUAGUGCCCUAAUUAAUUAAAUGCUAAAUCAAUUGAUGGCUUAACCACUAUGUAUAAAAGCAUAGGAAAAUUAUGUGAAUAAAUGCAAAAAUCAUAUGUGAUAAAGUGGAUAUUUAUACAAAUCAUAAGGAGAUUACAUGGAUAAUAAAAUUUUAUCACAUGUGCUUUUAAAGCACAUUUGGUAUAAAUGCCACAAGUGAUUGUGCAUUUCGUCCAUUUUCCACUUUAUAUAAAACUAUAGGGGGUUUACGUGGAUAUUUUAAAACCUUAGGAGGGUCAUAUAGCAUUAUGUAAAACCAUAGAGGGUAAUAAGUAAUUUACCCUAUUUACAAUUGUUCUACUCCGUCUUGUAAUUUAAUAUUAGAUAUUGUCAUUUCCACGAUUCCAUCUUCAAGAAAUACAGCCAAUUCAUAUAGGGAAAAUAAAUCUAUCUCUGCACUUGCUGUUACUUACAUGUGCCUUAGCAGAACGUGUCUUUGGCAAACAAACAAUCUGCUUUGCCGGCCUAAAUAAUUUUUAGUUUGUCAUUUUCACAGCUUCUCUUUGUUUGUGAGCUGUUAGCGAGUCUUGUUUAUGUGAUUUUGUCUUUCAAAGAAGGCUCAUGUCAUAUAAUAAACUGAGGUUUUUCUGCAUAUGCUUGGCACAUGCAAGUCUACUCAUAGAACAUUAAGCACUGAUCAUUUUCAUGUCUUAAUUAAAUUUCUUAAUCUAAUAGACAAAGGAAGACAAAGUGGCUGUGGCUGUGGCUAGGUUCAUCUUCAACUUUCAAGAUGGAUAACAAUAGCAUAUUGGUCAUUUUGCCUGUGCACUGAAGAAAUUAAAUAAAUAAAAAAAAAAGCUUCAUCCCAACACUAUUAGCCUUUCAAAGCACUGCUCUAAUUCUCCCCUACUGUGGACAAGAUCAACAUGAAGAUGAAGACAACACAACUCAUUGCAAUACUGUGGUGGGUCGUGGCGAUGAUGGCCCUGCCAAUAUUGGCUCAUGGCAGCAUUGAUCAAAGUCCUGAAGCCGUUAAAAAUUGGUUCAAAGAGCUUCGACAUGCAAAGGAGAAGUUGACAGAGCUUCACUUCUAUGUUCAUGACAGGGUAACUGCAGAGAGCCCCACAUCUGUGCUAGUUGCUCAAGCCAACGCUACUAGCAAAUCUCCCACGAUGUUCGGGGCAACCUACGUCUUCGAUGACCCGAUGACACUGGGACCUGAGCCCAGUUCCCAGAUCAUCGGUCACGCCCAGGGCAUAUCCAGUUCGGCAUCGAAAGAGGAUGAUGCUUCACAAAUUGCCAUCAUGAACUUGGUAUUCAACGAUGGCAAGUUCAAUGGUAGCACCCUUAGCGUUCUAGGUGAUUAUCCCUUCUUCCAGAAGUACAAGGAGAUGCCAAUAGUAGGUGGUUCUGGGGCUUUUCGAUUGGCCCGUGGAUUGGUUACAGCAAUAAUCUAUGCUUACAAUGAUACCACCCAGAAUGAAAUUAUCGACUUCCACGUCCUCGUUCUGCAUUAUUGACCUUGAUUUGAUGCCAUUUGUUGCUCGUACUUUCUUGUGGUUUUCUUUGUCGUAUAACAAAGAUUUCAUGUUAAGGAUAUAAUCCUUGGAUGAUACAAGAAGUAUUGAAGGUUUUUUUGUUUUUUUGUUUUCACUUCUACAGUUCUGCUUGUUUGGUCUCUUUGUUGAUAAUGUUGAUUUUCAGGUAAUAAAGAAAGCUUUUCCUUCUCUUUCUCCAUUAAAUUUUCCUUUUGGCACUUCUUACUUUUCCUUUUGUUUUAAAAAAAUCUAGUAUUAGUUUUUCUUUUCCCUUUUCUACCUUCAUUGCUUGUUUCAUGCUUCUAAAAGCUUAUUUUCCUUAAUAUUUUCUUAUUUCGUUUUCUUUCCUAAACGCAAUGAUAGUAAGGCGCUUAAUUGGGAUUUUUUUUUAAUCUAAUUUCUCUAUCAAGAUUUCCUAUCUAAUUUCAUACUAAGGGUGCAUUUGAUAAAACUGAAGUUUGAAAUCUAAAAUGUGAAGUUUGAAAUCUAAAAUGUGAAGUUUGAAUCCAUUAAGUUAUUGAAUUGUUAAGUAUUAAAUUUAAUACAUUUGAGUGCAUAUCACAUUCAAUGAUAAGUGAAUAGUUUAUCACUUAAUUUUAAGAGCAAGUUUUGCCUAAGAAAUUCAGUGUCAUUUAAUUUAGUUCAGAUGUUCAAUUUUUUAUUAUCAAAUGGUGUAAAUAUAUUAAUAUCUGAAUCCAUUAACUUUAAGCACUGAAUUGAAUUAGGAAACAGGGUCUAAGUCAUUAGUUUUUCAUUUCUCUUUUUUUUUUUCAAAACGGCAACUCAUCAUUCAUUAAACUAAACCAGAGUACAAUCUUUGGAGCAACUGCUCCAACAAUCUGCCUGAACCAAAUCAAGCAACCACGCUGGGAAGUCAAACUUCCAUUCAGCUGUUUUUUCCAAAUUUAUAGCAAACUUUGCUAUAUGGUGACUAACAGAGUUGCUCUCCCUUCUAGUGAAGGAAAAGCAACAUUCAUAAAAACUGAGCUUCAGCCUUUUAAUAUCUGAAAGCACAGUUGCAAUCUCUACAUCAUCUUCUUCACUAUUUAUCCUAUCAAUAACAUACUUACAAUCAGAUUCGAACUCCACCCUCCUCCACCCUUGUUGUUUGGCCACCAGCAUUGCUGCUCUUAAUGCUAAAGCUUCCUCCAUCUUUGGGGUUGAACAACUUGAGCCCGGCACUGCCCAAGCUCCCACUACUUCCUUCUGCCAGUCCCUUGCCACCAACCCCCAUCCUGCUUUCUCCUUGUCUUGUUGAACUGCUGCAUCAGAAUUUAUUUUCACCCAUGCCUCACCUGGUUCCUGCCAUGCACCUGGUUCCACCUUCCCCUCCCCUCUAACUCUGACUAAAUCUUUUUCCUCCAUCUGCACCUCCUGGAACUCUCUCCAUUCCCCAAUAGCUUUUUGGACCACUCCCAUGGGAUCCCUGGCUUUUGCUUCAAACUGUCUCGCAUUCCUUGACUUCCAUAUCUGCCAUAACAAGUUCACAGUCACACCAAUACGCUCCUGCCCCAUCUUCCCCUUCACUGCAUCCUUCAGCUCCUCCCACCAAUGCCAGAAUUUAUACCUAUAUGUCUCCAGCCCCUCCCAACUAACUGGCGCCACUUCCCAGAUGGCCUUUGCAUGGUCACAAAAAAACAGCAAGUGCUCUAAAGUCUCUGUAUGUUCCCCACAACACCUGCACAUAUGAUCCCCCUUGGAGCACCUUGCCUUUACAGUUGCGUUCACUGGCAGGAUAUCUUGUAGACACUUCCAAAGGAAGUGUUUCAGCUUCUGUUUUAUAUUCAACCCCCAAAGAAAGCUCCAACUCUGAGCUGAGCAUCUCCUGUUACUGCUAGAUUCAACAUUCCUCCCAACAGGAGCCCUUCUCUUUUUAAUGCAUUUAGCCAGUUUAUAACCUGACUUAACUGUAUAUUCCCCCGUAUUUGACUUUCUCCAGUAUAACCUAUCUUUCAUACUACAUACACUUAAAGGUAUUCUCAGUAUCUCCUUCCCUUCCUUCUCAUCAAAAACCUGUGCAAUCAGUUCCCUAUCCCACUUGCCAUUAUUUAUAAGAUCACUCACCCUCUGAACAACCACCUCCUCAGUUCUUGGAGUCUUCACUCUCCCAUCCUCUGUGUCUGGUAACCAUCUAUCUUCCCAAAUAUCAAUUGACUUGCCAUCCCCCACCCGUUUCCUGACCCCCUCCUCCAACAGUUCCCUCGCCCUCAAUAAACUUCUCCAGUACCAGGAAUCAGUACCAUGGCCUUGCAUUGCCCAAAUUGAAGUCCCUCUAAAAUACCUUGCCCUCAUGACCUUACUCAUCAGCAAAUUUGGCUUAGUUAAGAUCCUCCAGAGCUGCUUUGCCAGCAAAGCCAGAUUGAACUCCUGCAACUCCCUAAAGCCUAAACCCCCCUCACCCUUCCCCUCAGCCAACUUCCCCCAGUUCAACCAGUGAAUUCUCUGCUCCUUCUCCUUUGAACCCCACCAGAACUUUGCCAUUUCAGAACUAAUCCUCCUACACAAGUCCAUAGGUAUCAAACAGCAGGACAUCACAUAAAUGGGCAAGGCCAUGAGAACUGACUUGAUCAACACCUCUUUACCAGCCUGGCUCAACAAUUUCUCCUUCCAUCCCUUCAACCUCGCUAUUGUUUUCUGACAGAUAUACUCAAAAGUCUGUCUUUUGGAUCUCCCAAUGACUAAAGGUAGCCCCAAAUACCUACUUUGUUCAACCUGCUUCAUCCCUUGCAGUUCUCUCAUCACCCCUUCCUUAUGUCUACUCAUCACAUUCCUGCUAAAAAAUAGAGAAGAUUUCUCAAUAUUGAUCAGCUGUCCAGAGGCUUUUCUGUAUACCUCUAAGAUUCUCCUUAGCUGCUCAGCCUCCAAAACAGAUGCUCUACAGAAAAUCAGAGAGUCAUCUGCAAAAAACAAGUGAGACAGCCUAGGAGCCUUCCUUGCAAUCUUUAACCCAGACAGCUUGCCCUGCACCACAGCUUGAUUCAACAAUGAUGAGAAACCUUCAGCACAUAUCAGAAAUAGAUAAGGAGACAAAGGAUCUCCCUGCCUCAAACCUCUUGUUGGCCUAAUGAAACCUCUUUUCUGACCAUUAAAGUUUAUAGCAUAAGUAACACUAGAAACACACUGCAUCACCCACUGAAUCCACUUAGGACAGAAACCCAUUUUCCCCAUAACUUUUGCCAGAAAAGUCCACUCUACUCUAUCAUAGGCCUUUGACAUAUCAAGCUUAACAGCCAUAAAGCCUUCCCUCCCAGAUCUUUUGUUUUUUAGGAAAUGAAUGUACUCAUGAGCAAUCAGGACAUUAUCCAGGAUCUGCCUACCAGGGACAAAAGCAGACUGUGCCUUACUAAUACAAAGAUUCAGAACCAACUUUAAUCUAUUGGUGAUCACCUUGGCAAUUAUUUUGUACAACACAUUACACAGGCUUAUAGGUCUGAGAUCUGCCAUAGUGCUAGGGGGAACAGAUUUGGGGAUAAGACUAAUCAGAGUCUCAUUAAUGGACUUAAGAAUGAAACCAGAAGCAAAGAAACUAUUGACAGCAUUACAGAUAUCAGUUUUUAAGAUUGACCAAAACUUUUGAAAGAAAAUUGGGGACAUACCAUCUGGUCCAGGGGACUUAUUUGGAUGCAUCGAAAACACAGCUUGACUGAUCUCCUGCUCUGUAACCUUCCUGGUAAGCUCCCUGUUCAUCUCAUCAGUAAUGGUCUGUGGAAUUCCUUCUAAAAUCUCAGAAAAAACCUCAGGUUCCUCUGUCGUAUAAAUCUGCUGAAAAUAGUCCAGAAUCUCCUGGCAUGUUUCCUCCUCAUCCUUACACCACUCUCCAGACCUCUUCUGUAGCACACCUAAUCUAUUAAUCCUCCUCCUCCCAGCCACCGUGGCAUGAAAAUAACUGGUGUUCUUAUCCCCUUCUUGCAACCACUUCACCCUAGCCUUCUGACUCCAAUAUAUCUCUUCCCUUUUAUAAGCCUCUGCCAGUUUCCUUUUUAGACUUGCCAACUUGAUCCUAUACCCAUCACCUUUACAUUCCUUAACCUCUUUGAUCUCCUGCUUCACUUUUCCUAUCAUACUCUUAGAAUUACCUCCCAUCUGCUUGCUCCAACUAAGCAAAUCCACUCUAACUUCCUUUAUUUUUGCCUGAACCAUGAACAACCUGGAUCCCUUUUGCUUACUUCCCCAAGCUCUAUCUACCACCUCCUCUACAUCACUAUUUUGCAGCCAUCUCCUGUCAAACAUAAACCUCCUCUUCCCUUUUUUCCUAACAGGCUUAGUAUCAAACAACAAGAUACAGUGAUCAGAAGCCUCUACCUCUAUAUGUGCACAACUUGCCUUCUCAAACUUCCCUAUCCACCCUUUACUUCCCAAAAUCCUAUCUAUCCUUUCCUUCACCUCCCCCUCCCUGUUCCAAUUAUUGCACCAAGUCCAAGGGACUCCCUCAGCCCCAAUGUCCACCAACUCAUUUUCAUUUAUAAAAGAAUUAAAAUCUUGAAAACUCACAUUAGCUCUUUGUCUACCACCCCACUUUUCAACAUUUGAUCUGAUGUCAUUCAAGUCUCCCAUAAUUGCCCAGGACUCCCCCCAGAUACACCUCCUCCUAGCAAUAACCUUCCACUGUUCUCUCCUAAUACUAGCAUCUGCACUAGCAUAAGCACAGAUGCACCACCAUUCAACCCCUCUUUCACUAUCAUCUAUAAGUAAUUCUAUAGUGAAACUGGUAAACAACACUUUUUUAACCUUUAACUCCUGUUUCCAUAGCACUGCCAAACCUCCCGCCAACCCAACUGGAUCAACCACAAAGACAUUAUCAAACUGAAUCCAUUGCUUAACACUGUUCAAAAAGCUUUUUUUCUUUUUUGUUUCAGCCAAAAAGACCAGAGAUGGAAAGUGGAGUCUUACGACCUCCCUCAACUGGGGAACUGUCAAGGGGCUCCCCACACCUCGACAGUUCCACACCACAGCCCUCAUUUGACACUUGGAGCCCCAAUAAGGGUGGACUCCAACCCCUCAGCAAGUUCCAUCUCCUCACAGUUCCCACCAUCAGACUUUAUUUUCUUCAUAUUUUCCUUCCCUUCCUGAUCCUCUUUCCCCUCCCAUUCCACAGUCUCCAUCUUCCUUUUUCCCUUCUCCAUCCCCCCCUCCACCUGAUUGACUUCCACUAGGGGUCUUCUCUUACUAACUUCCAGAACCAAUCUUUUCCAGGUUUUGUUUGUCCUAUCAGAACCUUUCUUUCUACCCCCCUGCUUCCCUGUCUUCCUCCUUUCCUCCAUAGCCCCCCUGUUCCCUAUCCUCUCCCUUUCAUCCCCCAACCCCCUCUUCCCAUCUCUCUCCCCAUCAACCCACAUAAGGUCAGUCAACUCAUCCACUAACCCCUCCCCCUGGCUCACCCCCUGUGUCAUCACCUGAAUACUAACCCCUCCGGUUAGCUUUUCAUUUCUCAUUAAUCUUUUUGCUUGUCCCUAUUCUCGAUUACAAGUUCUACUUUCAUCAGAUGAAAGGGGCCAAAAUAAUAAAAAACUGCAACUCCAAUUCUUUCAUUAAAAAGGCAAAUCUGGAGCUGCAAAGAGUCUUGCGAAAGGUAGAAUCCACAACUUGAUGGCAAAGAAUCAAAAUUCUAAGGAAUAGGACGUUAGGUGGUGAAAAACUUUUACAAGGCAGAUAAAAGGCAAAAGAAACCAAAAUACCACACACUUAUUUUGCAUCAGAGUCAUCCUAUCUUUACAAAUUCUCUUUUUUUAGAAAAAUGUUACACAACUCUUUUCUAAUCUAAGUUACUUCCCAGUUCCCAACUUAGAUCCUUUCCAAUCUUUAGCGGUGCCCAUGUCUCAUGCUCGGACAAAAUUCGCCUCGACAGGCCACUUCUCCUCUGCCUAUCCUGCAUGCUGAUGGUCGUUGGAAUCUUCAUCCAACCACUCGACCUUGCUCCCCAGGCUACUCGAGGAAAUUGAAUUGGAUUCACACCCUGCUUCUGAUCGGAUCAGUACGAUAAACAACUUUGUAUUAUCAAUCAUAUAUCAUCUUACAGGUGGUGUAAUUAUGGGCAAUCUCACCAAUGUGGGAUUUUACAUUUAUCUGAAGUCAUAUCCACUUGUCUGUCCUCUUUUUUCGACUAAACAGUUGUAAAUAUAUACAGGAGUAAAAUUGACAAUGCGGGGGCUUUGGAUGCUUCUGAUCUAUCAAGUUGUUCUCAGAUUUUUAUCGUAAACAUCGGGAUAUGAAGAGGGGUUGAUUGAGAAGAACAGGAAGAGGGGACGACAUUAGUAUGAUAGUAAGAAAGAAUGUUUCUUAUUAGACUUGGCUGAAACUUAAUUUCAGCCAGUCAUACUAGAAUAUCCAAAGCGUUCUUCUCGAAUCGCUCUAGUACGAUGGAAAGAUGUGUUAGAUAUUUUCAAAAUUUGAUCAGUUGCAAGACGGGGCAUCUUAGGAUCUGACAUAAGAUCCAUCACUGUUUGGUUCCUACAAUACUCAGAAGUUGUUCAAGUCUACUUGACACAUUUUCAUAUUUUUGAUAGUUAACUACUAUCUAAAUAGUGUUUAAACAUGCAAAAAUUAUGUGAACGCUUGCAUUGAUAUUGAGGAACAUUUUGACCAAUACAAAUACACAAAUCAGCGGUGAAAGGUUGCAACUCUUGGUCAUUUCAAUCUCAACUACAUAAAUGUCUGGUAGGGAUGGUUUGCUGCAGAAGAUCAAUUUCCUACUACUAGAAUUCUCUGCAAAAACACAACAUAGUUUAAGUAAGUUUGUCUAACUUUGUGCAAGAGUUAAGACAAAAUACCCUUCAAAUUAUUUUAAAGGAUAUUUGUCCAAAACCUUUGAAUACAAAAUUUUUGAUAAAUAAAGUCUAAAGAAAAGUGAUUUUGAGUCACGAUUUGAAGUCUUUUUGUCUCACUUGCUUUGUAACUUUUAGUCAUUUUCUCCUAUAUUAUCCCCAACAAGAUGGAUCCGCCGGAGAAAAUGCAAAAUGAUAGAAUUGUUCGCUCCCUCCACGCCUUCCACGGUCCAUUUUCAUUCUCUUCCCUGCCGGAGAAGGUGGAUAAAUAAAGGUAGCUUGCUUGUCCUCUGGCGGCUUAUGUCAUCUGCUUGAAGGAUAUUGAGAAAGCUUCCUUACCACAAAUAAGAAAUUGUAUAAGAAUUGAAUUCUAAUGCUAGGUGGACAAGACCAUACAACUAGAAAACGUUGAAAAAUACGAAGUCCUCCAAAAAGUUGGGAUCUCGUGUCUUUGCUUAUCUACCUUCGUUUUCUUCUACCUGUCUCAGUAAUAGAAGUCAUAUUUGAAGUAUUUGAAAUUUGUUCUAACAAUUUGAGUUCAGGAAUAGAUUAUAUUAUGGUAGGAAACUACUUCAUUUUUUAUCUAUUAAAAUAUUAUUUGAUACCACUAUACAAAGGCACUGUAUAUGGCAUUUGAUGCAGGAUUGUUGCAUCUCCAAAGUUCACAAGAAGGUUACAGUUUACACCAAUCAUAUGAACAUGCAUAUAAAUAGAACAUUUAUUACUAUUUUUUCAAGGGCUAAUUACAAUUUACCCCAUGUGGUUUAGUGUUUUAUUGCAUAACCCCUUAUGGUUUCAAAAGCUAUACAUAACCCCUCAUGCUUUAGAUUAAAGUGUCAAAGUGAUGGAACUUACAAUCCAUAACGGAGUCAACUAUAAUAUCAAAAAUACUCCUAUAUAAAGUUAAAAAUUAUUUAUUAACCACAGGGGAUUAUGUAUAUAUAUUAAAAAUCAUAAGAGAGUUAUAUGAUAAAUCACUAAAGCAUGAGGGGGUUAUAUGGUAAAAUAUAAAAUCAUAUAGGGUUAGAAUAUCAUGCAUAUUAUUUAUAUAUAUUUUGGUUAUUUUAGUUUUUAAACAAAGGUAAUUUCGAUAUUUUCAUAGGUUCCAUUACAGGUGAUCAUUUCCAUCACUUUAAUACUUUAAUCCAAAUUAUGAGGGGGUUAUAUAUAACUUUUAAAACUAGUGGGAGGGUUAUGUGUAAAUUAGUUAUACCGCAGAUGGGUAAAGUGUAAUUUGCCCUUUUUUCAAAUAAUGCUAGAUGAUUGCCACCGGAAGGUGUUAAAAACUUGAAAAAAAAAUUGUCGAAAGAAGAAAAACCAAAAAGACUUGACCACCACGCCAAGAUCACGCAUAGGGCUGCAAACGAGUCGAGCCGACUCGAGUUUUAGCCUAAUCGAGUCGAGUCUUGACUUAAUUUUAGUGAACUCGAACUCGAGCUCGAGCUCGACGAGCCGACAAUUUAAAGCUCGAGCUCGAGCUCGAAAAAAAAAAUUUAUUUUAUUUUUUUAAAAAAUAAAUAAUAUAAUUUUUUUUCUUAAUUAAUAAUAAAAGAUUAAGGAUAUAUAUGUAAUUUUACUAUUAAAAUAAAAAAAUAAAAAAAUAUAUAUAUACUUAAAAUUAAAAAAUAUAUAUACUUAAUAUAUAUAUAUAUAUAUAUAUAUAUAUAUAUAUAUAUAUAUAUAUAUAUAUAUAUACUCGAGCUCGUGAGCCGGGCUUAAUAUCUUGACCUCGAGUUCGAGGUCAAAUUUGACUCGAGCCAGCUCGAGCUCGAGUCGAGCUUGACUCGAGCCGCUCGCGAGCCGCAGUUCGUUUGCAGCCCUAAUCAAGGCACUCAUAUUAUCAACAGUAACAGGUUGCUGCCACCAAUCCCUUGUGCAAAAUCACCCCAAAUAUCCAAAGCUACACCCAACAACAAUGAAACACUAUAGCGGCUAAUACUACACUACCAAUGAAAUGUAUACAAAAGCAACUAGUACUACAAUGCCAAUAAAAAAAAUGUAUACAAAAACCACGUCCUUUUUUUUCAGUAUAAAUAGAUGAAUUAUUAGUAUUUGCGUGGCUAAGGAGGCCUUGAUGUAGAAGAUAAAAUUGAGAUUUCAGAAAUUAGAGAUUCUUGGCUCAUUUUCCCUUAUCCCCUCCCUUGCUAGAAGAAUAAAACUAACUUUAAAACUUAGUAUUUGCGUAAAUCACAAAAGCACAGAAAGUUUACAUCAUGGAAGAGGAACAGGGAUCAAAACGGAAUUUUAUUGGGAAGGGACUGAAUGGAUGGAUGGAUAGAUAGAUGUCCGUGAAUCCACAAUAUAGUCUGCUGAAUGAUACAAAACAUACCAAAUAUGAAGACAAGCCAGUCACAAUCAUGUGAAGCCAUUAUUCGACCAUGUUAGACACCGCGAAAUGCUGUCUUGCAAAGAUUCCUACACUACAUAAAGGCACUAAUUUAUCAAGGGCUUCAGCAGCUUCCAAGUCUUGAGUGUUCGUUGCUUUGCCAACUCCUCCUACUGAAAUAUCCUACACAUGAUUCCUACACUACACUGAAAUAUCCUACAUAUGCUGUCUUGCAAAGAUUCCUACACUACAUAAAGGCACUAAUUUAUCAAGGGCUUCAGCAGCUUCCAAGUCUUGAGUGUUCGUUGCUUUGCCAACUCCUCCUACUGAAAUAUCACCUGCUGUAAUUUGAGCUGGUGCAUUCAGUCCCAUUGAUCUGGCUUUAACCAUUAUUCCCCCAAACUGAACCAUGUUUGCAUGGCUAUGUAGACGACUAAACAGAAGUGAUGGCCAAUAUCCAACAACUAUCCCUGGCCCGAUUUCGAGCCACCAAUGCCCAUGCUUAGCAUCCUACAAAAAUGAAACUUGAGUCGUAUAAAGACAGUGUGUUUGGACAGGAAAUUAUUUGAAAUAUUACUUGACUAAUGUAGUACUAUUAUAACGUGACAUACAUAGAUGGAACUAAAAAAUAUAUCUUGAGGGUUUAAGCUUUAAUAUACCUAAACUUAAAUGUAUAACCUAAAAUAUUUUUGAGUUUUUGUAGGGGUGAGAUUUGAAAUUUAGAAUCAUUUACAUAUAACCCCCUGUGGUUUCAUCUGUUACUACAUGAUCCCCCAACGCUUCAAAAUGUCCACUUCACUCCCUAUGGUUUUAUAUGAAGUGGAAGUUUGAUGGAAAAUAGUUAUCUAAUGUCAUUAGUUGAAUUAUCAAUAGUGUCCUUACUUAAAUACUAAAUUAAUCGACGGCUUAACCACCUUAUAUAAAAGUAUAGAGAGAUUACGUAGAUAAAUGCAAAAAUCACAGGAGGUAAAAUGGAUAUUUAUACAAAUCAUAAGGGGGUUACAGGGAUAUUAAAGCACGUUUGGUAUAAAUGUUUAAACUGAUUGUGCAUUCCUUCCAUUUUUCACUUUACAUAAAACUACAAGGGAGUUAUUUGGCUAUUUUAAAGCCUUAGGAGGGUCUAUCAUUUUGUAAAACUACAAGGGAUCAUAAGUAAUUUACCCUUCAAUUUAUAAAGAGUGAUUUUGAAAAAUUUUUAAUCUCAUAAGGGAGGAAACUUAAAUUUUAAUAGACUUGAAGGAGGCUCUUCCCACAUCCCCUAGUUCCAUCUUUGGUGAUAUAUAUGAGAUUUUCCUUUUAAAAAAAUAGUGAUUAAAAAGAUAAAAGGAGAAUAAAAAAAUGUGUUUGUAACACAAGCAAAUAAUAUUUUACAAAACAAUACCAAUCCAAACAUGAUUACUACUCUAUCAAAUAUGCAAAAAAAAAAAAAAAUAGAUAUUUGACAUUUGAAUAAAAUGACUUGUGACAUGAUUAGUUCAAGCUUUGUUGACCUUGGUUGAUCAGUCCUUGGUUUUGAUGAUUAACAAACCAAAAUGUAGAUUUGGACUAAUUUUUUUAUGUGAGAAAUUUGUUAGAACAGGUCAUUGAUCCAAAAGAGAAUCGAAAAGAUUUGAAUCAAAGAGAAGUUAAGAAAUAUGAAGGUUCGGACGUAGAGAAUCGGACGCUCGAUAGAGGAUCGGACGUCCGACAGACGACGAUACUCUUCGGACGCUUGGAUCGGACGCUUGGAUCGGACGCUUAUUCAUUGCUUCGGCCGUCCAACACAAAAAGAAUGAAAGUUGAACAUUCUGACUUCUAUCGGACGCAGGGUUCGGACGCAGAACAAAUGGUUCGGACGUCCGAUAGGUGGUUCGGACGCAUGGUUCGGACGCAGAGCAAAUGGUUCGGACGUUCGACAGGCCAACGGCUAGUUUCGACAGCAUUUAAUAUUUGACCGUUGGAGAGCCUUUUGGAGCCAUUUCUCACCUUCUAUAAAUACCCCAAAACACAAGAAAACACAGACUUUUGCCAACACUAAAUACAAGCUUACAAGUGAGAUCUUUGAGUAGAAAUAUUCUUUGUUGGUUGUAUAAGGGGUUGGGAAAGUUGGGUUGUGAGGUUGCUCAAGUGAAGGUUACUCUCUAGGAGGAGUAAAACCUUGGUGAAGGUGAACCUAUCACUUGGAGUGGUAAAAGUUUGAUAAAGGUUGCCUCACUUGUAUAAAGUAGUUCUUAAUUGAGUGGGUAAACUUUCAAUUGUAGCUAGUUGAGGGUUUACUUGGAGAGUAGUAAAAUUCCUUUGCUCAACCAAAGUAUGUUUGGGGUGAGGAAGGAGUGAGCCUUCACUUGUACAAGUUGGUUAGCACUACCAUCAAUUGAAGAAACUAUUUGGUGGAUUCAACUCCAAGUUUGGAAGAAACUUGGGAGUUUGAUUGGUUUGAAUUUCUUUUACUUUAUUGUUACUCUAUUUUUGUGCUUUAAAAUUGCUUAUAUUUUUUGUCAUCGUAUUUACUUGACUACUUGUCUGGUUGAGUAUUUUGGUUGUAUUUGGUUGCAUCGGGGCUAACAAUUGGCAUCAGAGUUUGGUCUCCUAGAGAUUAAGCUUAACCGCUUAGAGUAAAGAUCAUGGCAACCAUAAAUGUUUCUUUUUUAGAAGGGCAAUCUAUUGAUAGACCACCUAUGUUUAAUGGUUCUCAUUUUAGCAUGUGGAAACAAAGAAUAAUGAUUUUCUUACAAUCCGUUUAUAUUGAAUUAUGGUAUGUGGUAGAAGAUGGUCCUUAUGAAGCUAGAAUAGUUGACUCUACCACUAAUUUGAGUAGAUUAAAGACUAGACAAGAAUUGAAUGAAAAAGACAAGAGAUACCUUUCUUUGAAUGCCAAGACCAUGUAUAUAUUGUGCAAUGCAUUAGAUGUAAAUGAAUCUAGUAGAAUUAAAGGUUGUAAAUCAGCUAAAGAUAUUUGGGAUAAAUUGGGUGAAUUUCAUGAAGGUAACCAAGAUAUUAAAGAACAAAAGAAAUCUUUGCUUGUUUCUCAAUAUGAAUUUUUCAAAAUGCAUCCUCUUGAAAAUGUUGAUAAGAUGUGUAGUAGAUUUUGUGACAUUAUUCAAGAUCUUAAAUUGCUUGGAAAAGAAUAUUUUUUGGGUGAGAAAAAUAGAAAGAUUUUGAAUGUCUUGUCAAAAGAAUGGGAAAACAAAAUAAAUGCUAUAGAAGAGGCAAAUGAUUUAAAUUCUAUGUCCAUUGAAUCUCUUGUGAAUUCCCUAACCUCUUAUGAAUUAAAGCUGAAAUUCAAAGUGCAAGAGGAAGAAAAUGCAAGAAUGUAUAAGAGAGGCAUAGUUUUUAAAGCAUCUCAAGUGGGGGAUAACCCAUCCUUCAUGGGUAAUGAAAACAUGGAAGUGGACAAUGAUAUAACUCCUCACAUCAAAAGUUUCAAGAAGAUCUUCAACAAGAGAAGUUCAAGAGGAGAUUGCAAAAUUACAUGAGAUGAAUGCAAUUCAAAAAGAGAAAAAGAAGAGUUGGCCCAAAUGGCACUAAUGGCCUUUGGAGAAGAUGAGGUAAAUUCUUAUCACUCUUCUAGUGAUGAAGAUAAUGAAGAUGAUGAUGUGCAAAUUCUUAUGAUUAAAAUACAUAAAAGUUUGAGAGAAUCUUAUGCUAAAAAUAAAGAUUUGAAAACAAAAAUAAAUGAUUUGUUGGAAGAAAACUUCAAACUUUUUCAAGAAAACAAAUGUUUGAGAAUGGAAAAUGAUGAUUUAAAAAAUCAAAAAGGUGUUUUUGAUUGUAAAAAUAAUUUGAAAAGGAAGUUGGAAGAGAAAACAAAGUUUUAUGAAAAAAUGUUGGAGGAACAAAAUUUGUUAAAGAAAAGAAUUAAUGAUUUGAACGAGUUUCUCCAAAAUGAAAAACAAAAGUUUUCUCAAACAAAAGAAAGCAAAUCUUUUCAAGGCACAAAUAAGUUUGCUAUGAUAAGAAGUAAGAAAAUUAGUUGCAUUAAAUCCACUUAUGUGCAAAAUACUUCUAUCAUGUGUCACUUUUGUUGCCAAUUUGGACAUAUGCAAAAUGAUUGCUAUGUAAAGAAAAAUAUGAGAAAAUGUAUGAAAUCCAUGUGGAUUGCUAGAUCAUGUUGUACUAACUCCCAAGGACCCUAUAAAGAAAAAAUACCAAAUGAAAUUUCUCAUACUUAGGUACAUCAUGAAGAUUUAAUCCAAAAAGUGCUAAAUGGUUGAAAGUACAUUUGAAAGUUUUGACAUUCAAUAUGGUCUUGAUUUGAAAAAUAAAGGAGGAGUUUGCUUUUUGAUUGAUGCCAAAAGGGGGAGUAGGAUUUAUUGAAAUUUCUUUGUAUGUUGGCAUUUUCUAAGGGGGAGUUUUAUUUGAACUUAUUUGAUCAAAGAAAUCUUCAUUUUGUUUGUCAUCAUCAAAAAUGGGGAGAUUGUUGACCUUGGUUGAUCAAUCCUUGGUUUUGAUGAUUAACAAACCAAAAUGUAGAUUUGGACUAAUGUUUUUAUGUGAGAAAUUUGUUAGAACAGGUCAUUGAUCCAAAAGAGAAUCGAAAAGAUUUGAAUCAAAGAGAAGUUAAGAAAUAUGAAGGUUCGGACGUAGAGGAUCGGACGCUCAAUAGAGGAUCGGACGUCCGACAGACGACGAUACUCUUCGGACGCUUGGAUCAGACGCUCAUUCAUUGCUUCGGCCGUCCAACACAAAAAGAAUGAAAGUUGAACAUUCUGACUUCUAUCGGACGCAGGGUUCGGACGCAGAACAAAUGGUUCGGACGUCCGAUAGGUGGUUCAGACGCAUGGUUCGGACGCAGAGCAAAUGGUUCGGACGUCCGACAGGCCAACGGCUAGUUUCGACAGCAUUUAAUAUUUGACCGUUGGAGAACCUUUUGGAGCCAUUUCUCACCUUCUAUAAAUACCCCAAAACACAAGAAGACACAGACUUUUGCCAACACUAAAUACAAGCUUACAAGUGAGAUCUUUGAAUAGAAAUAUUCUUUGUUGGUUGUAUAAGGGGUUGGGAAAGUUGGGUUGUGAGGUUGCUCAAGUGAAGGUUACUCUCUAGGAGGAGUAAAACCUUGGUGAAGGUGAACCUAUCACUUGGAGUGGUAAAAGCUUGAUAAAGGUUGCCUCACUUGUAUAAAGUAGUUCUUAAUUGAGUGGGUAAGCUUUCAAUUGUAGCUAGUUGAGGGUUUACUUGGAGAGUAGUAAAAUUCCUUUGCUCAACCAAAGUAUGUUUGGGGUGAGGAAGGAGUGAGCCUUCACUUGUACAAGUUGGUUAGCACUACCAUCAAUUGAAGAAACUAUUUGAUGGAUUCAACUCCAAGUUUGGAAGAAGCUUGGGAGUUUGAUUGGUUUGAAUUUCUUUUACUUUAUUGUUACUCUAUUUUCGUGCUUUAAAAUUGCUUAUAUUCUUUGUCAUCGUAUUUACUUGACUACUUGUCUGGUUGAGUAUUUUGGUUGUAUUUGGUUGCAUCGGGGCUAACAAGCUUGUUACAUAUGAGUUUAUUAAUUGGGAACUUCUUUUACAUAAAUUACGGGUACCACCAUGGGUAUCCACCUUUUUUAAGAGAUACAGACGUGUAAAUAUAGACCAUAUCUAUUACUAUAUAAUGUAAUCGUAUUUUGACUAAAAUCACAAAUGUCAAUCAGAAACUAUUCAGAAUAAAAAAAAAGGGCUACAUGGAUAAAUAAAAUUAACUUUGUAAAAACAUUUUUCUAUUAGACACUUUCCAUAUUUUGUAUCACAAAAAUAAAAAGUAGAAAGGAUUUGAACUUCUUCCAAACUAAAAUUUGAAGAAAAUCUCAAAACAUAUAUAGUCAAAAUGUAACUGAAAAAAAAAAAGAUUUCUAAAGAUUCAAAUUAAAAUAUCUAUGAAUUUAGGGUAAAAUACACGGAACUCCCCUAUGGUUUCGCGAAAAGACACAUUAUCCCCCUAUCGUUUAGAAACAUACACAUAAACACCCUAAACUUCAUAACUAAAGUGGAAAUUGACUUCUUAACCGGCUGAGUUACCAGCUGCAGGUCGAAUACCCAAAAUACCCUCAUUUAUAAUAGAGAGGGAGAGAGAAUCAAGAACUGACUCUCUCUCGUUCACUCUCUCUCGUUCAUCCUGUGUAAGAAAAAAAAACCCUAAAACAAGGGAUUUGUAUACUAAAUUGUUGCUGAAAUAUCAUGAAUCUGAGUUGAAAACAGCGUGGCUGCCUUUCGGACAUGAAUUGGUUGAUCCUAAAGGGUUCCUGAGAAGCUGGAACAACAGUGGUAUUGGAGCUUGUUCGGGUGGCUUGGCCGGGAUUAAAUGUGCUCGGCGACUAGUAAUUGUAAUCCAGCUUCCCUGGAAAGGUCUAGGUGGUCGAGUAACUGAAAAAAUUGGGCAGCUUCAAGCUCUCAGAAAGCUUAGCCUCCACAAUAAUGCAAUUGGUGGUGCAAUUCCUUCCUCGUUGGGGCUUUUGCCUAACCUCAGAGGUGUUCAAUUAUUCAAUAAUCGAUUUUCUGGUUCAAUCCCACCUACACUUGGUUUGAGUCCCCUUCUUCAAUCACUAGAUUUCUGUAACAACUCCCUCUCUGGAACUAUUCCGGCUACUCUUGCCAAUUCAACCAGGCUCUUUAGGCUUAAUUUUAGCUACAACUCUUUGUCUGGUUCAAUUCCCACCAGCCUUACUCAAUCGCAAUCGCUGAUUUUUCUUGCUCUAGAGCACAACAAUCUCUCUGGUUCCAUUCCUGACUCUUGGGGUGGAAAUGUGAAGGCCCUCUAUCAACUUCAGUCCCUAACACUUGGUCACAAUUCAUUUUCUGGGACAAUUCCAGCUUCUCUUGGCAACUUAAGUGAGCUCCAAGAGAUUUCACUCAGUCAUAACAACAUGGCUGGAUUGAUACCCAAUGAAAUUGGAAGACUAUCUAGGCUUAGAACACUUGAUUUCUCAUAUAAUGCACUCAAUGGGAGCUUACCUGCCGCUCUUUCCAAUUUAUCAAACCUUGUAGUUUUGAACUUGGAAAGCUACCAUCUUGACCACCAAAUUCCUGCAGCUGUAAACAAACUACAGAAACUAUCUGUUCUCAACUUGAGAAAUAACCAAUUUGCUGGUCCUAUUCCAGCAACAGUUGGGAACAUUUCUUUCCUGACACAAGUUGAUUUAUCUCAAAACAAGUUUAGUGGAGAGAUUCCAGCAUCUAUAGGUGAUUUACCUAAUCUUAGUUCCUUUAAUGUGUCUUACAACAAUCUGUCCGGUCCUGUUCCAACUAAGCUUGCUCAAAAGUUCAAUGCAAGCGCCUUCGUGGGCAAUCUUGAGCUAUGCGGAUACAGUGCAUUAACCCAAUGUCCAAUACCACCCUCUCUGGGCCCAUCAACUCCACCAGAAUCUCCAGCAAAGAAACAUCAUAGACUGAGCACUAAAGACAUUAUUCUCAUCGCAGCUGGGGCUCUCCUCAUCUCCGGAGAAAAAGGCACUCCUCCAACUGCAGGUGAAGUUGAAGCAGCUGGAGAAGCAGGAGGAAAGAUUGUCCACUUUGAUGGACCCAUGGUUUUUACAGCAGACGAUCUGUUGUGUGCCACAGCAGAGAUCAUGGGUAAGAGCACUUAUGGAACAGUAUAUAAGGCAGCAUUGGAGGAUGCAGUGUUGCUGCAGUGAAGAGAUUGAGAGAGAAGAUUACAAAAGGACAAAGGGAAUUUGAAACUGAGGUUAAUAUACUGGGGAAGAUCAGGCAUCCAAACCUUUUAGCGAUGAGGGCUUAUUAUUUAGGUCCGAAAGGUGAAAACUUCUCCGUAGAUCUUCUCCCUUUUUCCUUUCACUCUUUGAUAGCUUGAAAUCUCUUCUCCCCUGAUAUGUCACUUCAAUAUAGCAACUGAAGGGUAACUUGGGAAUGAAACUCAAGAUCUUUUCAAAAGAAUCUCGCAUACCCAUCAUCAGUAGGUCGUUCAGCCGGUUAUAGGUCUAUUUCCACUUUAGUUAUGAAGUUUAGGGUGUUUAUGUGUAUGUUUCUAAACGAUAGGGGGGUAAUGUGUCUUUUCGCGAAACCAUAGGGGGGUUCCGUGUAUUUUACCCAUGAAUUUAAAUAAAUGUGUUUAAUUGUAUAGUUGAUACAAUUUUGGUAAUAUCUUCUAUAAUAAGGUAAAGCCAAUAAUUAUAAAUCUUCAGCAUGUAUAGUAUAUGCCAAACCAAUCAAAUAUGUAUAACGAAUGUGAAUUUCUUUUAUUUAUAACCUCUUUCAUGUAGAAAAAAUAUCUUUAUUAAAUUAGAUUGGUUUUAUGAGUACUAAGUGAUUAAAUUAUAAAAUAUUAGAAUGUCAUUACUAUCUCAGUUAUCAAAUGGCAUUGCCUAAGAUCUACUUUAGUAUCUUAAGAGUGAGGCUUAAACCAAUAGUUAGUUAAUAAAAUAAUUAAAAAAAUGGAAAGUCAUGGUAACUAAAAUAUGAAAAAUUAUGCAUGGAUGAUAGAAAAUGUAAAUUUCCAAAAAAAAAAAUUCCAACAUUUAUUGCCAUAAAGAGAGAAAAAAACUAAAGUAAAUUGUUGAUAAGUAUAAAAAGGAAUGCAAUUGAAAUAAAAAAAAUUAAAGAAUAAAUUAGUGAGAAGGAGAUCACUUCAUGUGUUGCACACUAAAGUAGACAACAAACUAAAGAAUGGAUGAAAAAAGAAAGUCUACAAAGCUUAUACACCAUACAACUCUUCACUAUUUUUACCAAUUUUGCUAUUAGUCAUGUAAGAGUUUGUAGAAUUUUGUUCAAUCUUUUUGCUUAGAAUUUAAAAUUUGAUGGUGUGAUAUAUAUCUUUCAACUUAAUCAAUUGUAUCUCUUUAUAAAGCCAUAGCCAUGGUUUUUCACGUGACAAUGUAUUCCUGUCUUUUUCUUUUUAUUCACUCUAAGAACUAAAACAUAGGACCAAUUCAACUUUAAACAUCAAUAGAUUCUUUGACAUUUGAUUUUUCUUGCCUACAAUGACAUUAAUUUUGAUUAAGUUCAACAUCAUAUACUAAGGGCAAAUUACACUUUUCCACCCUAUAGUUUAGUGUUUCCUUAUAUAAUUCUCCUAUGGUUUCAAAAACUAUAUAUAACCCCCUCAUAGUUUGGAUUAAAGCGUCAAAGUAACGGAAUUUGCAAUCCAUCACGGAGUCAAGUAAAAUGUCAAAAAUAUCCCCAUGUAAAGUAGAAAAUUACUUAUUAACCACAAGGGGGUUAUGUUUAUAUAUAUUAAAAACCAUAAGGGGGUUAUAUGAUAAAGCAUUAAACCAUAAGGGAGUUAUAUGAUAAAAUAUAAAAUCAUAUGGGGUUAGAGUGUGAUGCAUAUUAUGUUUAUAUAUUUUGGUCACUUCAGUCAUUUUAGUUUUUAAACAAUGGUAAUUUCGAUAUUGUCCUAGGUUUCGUUACAGAUGAUCAUUUCUAUCACUUUAAUACCUUAAUCCAAACUAUGAGGGGAUAUAACAGAUUUUAUCAGAUUGAGUUUGAUAUCAAAAUAAUUUAGUUAUUAGAAAAAUAAGGAUAUUUGUUAACCAAAGAUCAUGUUGGUUUGUUAACAAAUAUUUUACCUAAGAUUUGCUAGUAGAGGAAGAUUACAUUUUGUUGAGAUUUUUAGGAUAAUUGUUAGUUGAUAUUUUGCUAGUUUAUUUCAUGUAAUCACUAUAAAUAGUAAGUUGAUGAAUGAAUAAUACAAACUCAUUUUCUACUUUCAAUACAAGUCUCUUAUAAGUUUUUUUUUUGCAACACUAAGGUAUUGUUUUUUAGUGUAUGCCCCAAAAAACCAACAGAAGCACGUGCAUUUUACUAGUAACCCAAUAUAUUCUUUUUUUGUGGAGAUAUUAAAGGUGGCAUGCACUUGCUAACUGCCCUUACCACUUGCUAACUGCCCUUGCCACUUGCCUUUAAUUAUUUGUGAUCCAUUACUUUGAUGGAAGUUGUGUGGUUUAGUGGAGUUCAAGAAAUGGGACAAGAGCUACUUGUAUAAGCUUCAUUUAAAACCAGUUGUUAUGAACUAGUAACAGAAGUUUCGUUGUUGUCAACCAAAAAAAAAAAAAAAUGUUUAGUUGUUGUCAACAAAGGAAAAAUAAAUAAAUUAAUAAAAAUCCUGAUGCCCUGACAGAGAGGAGAAUCUGACAAUCAAUUAACUAUAUCAAGAAUAGUUGGAAAGCCAGAAAGAUAUUAUAAUGAGGAUGAUAUAAAACCAUUUGUAUGUUAUGACAUACUCUUACCUAAUUUGAGCAGGCAAAUAAUAACAGGGUUGUACUUUUCUUAGUUUCACGUGUCGAAUGUAAAUAUGUGAAUUUAGUUUGAUUUUGCAAGACAAAAACUCAGGAUGUUUCAAUUAAAGUCUAAGAAUCUGAACUUGAAGGUUACAUAAGAUAGCAUUGAGCUUACCUUUGCGAUGAUCAUCGGUAUGCCGAUAUCAAGUUCUCUGCCAUUCUGGGAAAAUCUUGGAGAGAUUGCUGCCCCUAAAGAAAUUCUAUUAUUAGUUUGUACAAAGCCUGAACACAGGAGGUUAUAGCAUCCUGUGGUUCCAUAUGAAUCAGCCUGUAGAUUGAAAGUGAUCCGCAAUCAAGAACUUUUAUGUCUGGCACAUACAGACGUAACUUAAGGAUGCAUAUUUGAUGGUUUACCGUCCAAUACGUGAAGAAUCUGGGGGAGUUGUCUCCAAAUAAUUUCGGAUUAACCUGGAGAAUUUAAAAAUGGCUGAUCCUUAGAUGUCUUCUUCUUCUUCCACCCUAGAAGACUUAGAAAAAGUGACUCUUGUGUCUAGUUUACGUACCUGCCAGCCGGCUUCAACGGUAUUAAGAUCAUUACUAGUACUAUUACCAGAGGCCAUCCAGACUUGUGACAGUCUGAAGUCAUAUUGGUCCGUCUCAUUAGCUUUCCAGACAUGUAUGUAGAGCCGUGCUCCAGAGUAACAAUCUCCAGUAACAUCGCCAACAGGUCUCUACAUUGCAAAUAAAGAAAAGAUCAGGUGUAUAAAAUCCGAAUCUAUGAACUUUUGAUGCUACGAUUGGAAACUUAAAAGCUUAGACAGAGCCAAAAUAUGUUAACAGCAAUUUGAUUUGCAACUUGAUUUAUUCAUAUUGUCCAAUGAGGUUCUUAAAUAUCACUUUUUCCUUUGGUAAGAAUUUCACUUUUAUUCUCUUCUCAAACUUCUCAUUUGUUUGGCAUUGUUCCAGAAAUGUAAUUAUUUUGAGGAGAGAAUAAGAAAAUGACAUGAUCUAUUUUUCGGAGAGAGAGAGAGAGACAUUUGGAUGUAAUUAUAGGAAGAAGAUAAGAUAAGUUUCCCCAAACUUCGAGUCGCUUAUGCAUUGAUUUAGAAAUCAUUGCCUUGAUAAAUCUGAGAAACUGACCUAACUAGUUUCUUAAAAACUAACUGAACCAAGCUUUUUUGAGUGCCAUUUUACUUCAUUUCAUAGACUUACCAGUUGAUCAUUACUGCUUAUCUUAGUAUUCUGUUUACUGAAAGAUUUUCGGCCGAAUUUGUGCAGUGAACCAGCUCUCAGGACAUCUUUCAUUGUAGUUCUUCUGAUAGGUACAGUACCAUCCGGGCACGAUUCACCAGAAUCAGUCCACAGUUGAAUGCUCUUCCUCCAGCCAUGGUUGGUUGGUCUCUGUCCAAAUAUCGGCGGAGUUACAGUUGAAAGCUCUGUCGAUACCAGAAUCAGUCCAAACAAAACUUUUUCAAGACAUCAAAUUUCUUUCAUCAUAGUGCCAGGUUAAAUCUGGAUAUGCUUUAAUUUUAUCAGCCCAUUACUAGGUAUGUGUAAAUGUACUUUUAACAAAAUAGUUUCCUUAGACUCUAGUUUCUGCAGAAACAUAGAGCAAAUGAUCUGAUUCUGAACACAAUUACCAGUGGCUUCAGUCCUUUGAGCAGAGGAUGAUCAAAAGCCGGUUGGAGAUGAGAUGGGACACAAUCUAUUAGAUCACCAUCUGGACUCUGUGUCAAAGAAGUUAGGCAAAUUGAAAUUAGUAAACCUGAAAACCACUAAAAAGAUGCCAAAUUUAGCUAGCCACAGUACUGGAAAGGUAUGAAAAAGAAUUGCCUCAAUUGUCUUGAUUGCGAGUUUGUUAAUCCUCCUCAGAUACCUUCUAAUUCUCUUUGACUUCUGCACCCUUUGACUCAGAUGGAUAGUUUGAUUGCGUAACAGGUGGUUGUCACUGGAAUCCAAUAUAUCAUUUGGCAUAGAAAAGGCAGAUGAAAUAGAAGAAGCAAUAAGUACAACCAAAGUGAAGAUAAUUCGGACUGUUUUGUAACAUCUGGCAGAGGCCAUGCUUGUUCUGUAUAUAUCUAUUUCUGCUUCUCUUAACUUAGUGUUUCUCCUAAAUACAAAUAUCACGCAUUUGUAUUGGCCACCAUGACAUUCUGAACGACAGAAUCAUGGUUUACUAAAAAAUGAUUGUCCACCAAGAUAGCUGUAGUGCUCAAGAAGCCAUCCAAAUGCAAGAAGUCAACCCUGGAUUGUUAGAAAGUUUAUCAAAUCAUUUAUAUUACCCAACAAACCAAUCAAAGAAAAAGUCAAAUCAACUCUCCCUCAACAUUUUGAACUUUCUUCCCUCCUAUCUCUGGCUUUUCAAAGAUUCUAUAAUGUUAUAGUAGUCUCCCAAUAAGCAUUAAUGAGUAUAGGAGGUUUCACCAGUAAUAUAUUGAUAGUCUACGAAACUCAACUGGUUAUCAUAAAGAAUGUGCACAGACAAAAGGACUUGCAAAUUAAUGCAUAAGUUAAAGAUUCAAAACUUAUUUGCUUGCUCAGUGCAGCUAGCUUAGGGAUGACAGCAGAUGCAGAUGGAAUCUAAGUUAUAAUUUGCUGCUUGGUUUUCACUUUUGUGUAGGUCAAAUUCAUGUGGCUUGCUUAAUCUCCACAGCUAGCUGGUUGGUGGGCGCAUAUCAGCCUCCUCAUCGAUAUUAAUCUAUUAAUCGACUCUCAAUUUGUCUUGCUAAUUUGUCUUCCUGUUUUUCAGAUUUUGUUUCCUUCUUUUCUAACCUAAGAAGUCAGGGUGGGUGUACACAAAUUUAGUUGACUUCAGAUUCCAAUGUAUUUGACAUUUAGUUCAGGUAAAAGCAUCUCACUCUACAUAUGCUGACUUGAAAAUCACUGUUAUGUCUAAAAUUGUUUUAUACCCUCUUAUUAUUUUAUUUUAGAGAUUAUCAAUUCCAUGAUUCCAUCUGAGAAAAAUAUAGCCAAUUCAUAUAGGUAAAAUGUAUCUAUAUCAGUACUUGCUGUUAGUUGCAUGUGCCUAAGCAGAAUCUGUCUUUGGCAAACAAACAAUCUGUCUUGAUGGCCUAACUCAGAUUUAGUUUGUCAUUUUCACUGUUUUUCUUUGCUUGAGAGCUGUUAUCAAGUCUUGUUUAAGUGAUUUUGUCUUACAAGGAAGGUUCAUGUUAUAUUAUAAACUGAGGUUGGUGACAGAAAUGUUACAUUUUUUUUUGUUUUCCCCAUGCUUGGCACAUGCAAGUCUGCUCAUAGAACGUUAACCACUCAUUUUCAUGUCUUAAUCAAAUUGCUUAAUCUAAUACACAAAGGAAGACUAAUACUGCAGUGCCAUUGGCUAGGUUCUUGUUUCAGCUUUCAAGAUGGACAAUCAAUGGCAUAUUGGUCAUUUUGCCUGAACAUCAACUUUGAGAAGGAUAAAGAAUUGCAUUAAUACCAUACAUAGCUUUCUUCUCUGUGCAUGCACGUAACUUUCCAUAUCCACAAGGUACAAAAGUAGAAAGUAAAUUACACACAAUACUCCUAUUUAUCUUCUUGCUACAAAGUAAUGGGUAAAAACUUUUUGUUGGGGGGGUGAAAUGGAAUGCUUUUCAAAAGAAUUUUGAAAUGGUCUAUGUCUAUUUAAAGGAAAGGGGAAAUUGGGGACCAAUGGAAAGUUUUAGGCCAAUAAUAUGUGACCACCCUACACUUUUAUGCCCUUUUAAGGACACCUUGAGUUCCUUCCAGGGCCACCAUAGUAGAAGUAAUUUCCCCAGACAUUGUUUCUUCCUGCUUUUAUAUCAUAACAAGUAGGAUGAUCAGCCAAGAGAUGAAGAUUAGAUAGAGGAAUUAAGCUGUUAUCCCAAUCAACAACUUGCAAAUUUCUGAAGUAAGAUGCUUUGCCAAAUCCUUCAUCUGCAAAAUGGCCACUUCCCAUCUGUGUUGAUGUGUGAUAUCCUGUUGAUCUGGUGUUUACUAUUUCUCCACCAAACUGAACCAUGCUGGCAUGGCUUCGUAGAUGACUGAACAGAAAUGAUGGCCAGUAUCCCACAAGCAAUCCUGAACCGAAUUCGAGCCACCAAUGUCCAUGCUUAGGAUCCUACAAAAUCAAAAUUUAUGAGUUCCCAAUUUCAUGAAUGCAAUUUUAAAUUACUGCUUCCUCUUUUAACAUUUUUUGUAAGUCAAUGGGAAGGAAAUGUAAUUUGAAAAAAUGCCAUAAGUAGGGGCAUUCACCAGCUGCAUUCACGCGUUUGCUCUACUUAUUUCUGGCCUAUCAGGCAAUAAUUCAACUCAAUAUGUAGGAUAGUCUGAGUAUUCUACUAUUACCUUCAAAAGCCAGUUGUUGUCUACUAGCAAGAAAUAUACUUAAUAAUUCAGAAGGAAGGGAAAGAGAAUUUUUUUUACUCAGAGAUGCCCCUAACAGAGAGGAGAAUCUGACAUUUAAAUGUCAAGAACAGUUGGACAACUUCAAAUACAAAAUAAUGUAAUCGAGGAUGUUUCGCGCAUAUCGUAGACUUGCUAAAACAUUGGUCAACCUGUUGUCUUCUAACAGAAAAAUCAUAAUCAAUGCUAACCAUUAAGUAAUUGAACAGGAAGUGCUUAGUUGGCUCAUUCUUUUCCUAGUUUCAUGUGUUCAGAUGGAAAUGACAUUGUACGGCUUAAAGAAAUCACUCGUGUUGCUGAAGUAGCCAAAAAAUGUUAGAUAUCUUUAGGUUGAAAAGAAAAGAAAAGAGACCUGGAGAAAAGUAUUAGGGAGUCUGUCAUUUACCUUCCAUAUCAUAACACCAAUAUCAAAUUGUCUGCUACUGUAAGAUGACCUUGGAGAGAUUGCUGCCCCUAUAGAAAUUCUAUUAUUUGUCUGUACAAAUCCUGAACACAGUAAAUUGUAGCAUCCUGUGGCUUGGUAUGCAUCAGUCUGUAAAUUAGGUCAUUAACGGUAAGCUUUCAAUGUCUUAAAACAUGAAUAUAAGUGCAUAUGAAGAAUUCAACUUUUGAUAGUUACCGUCCAAUAGGUGAAGAACCUCGGAUUGCCAUCUCCAUAUAACUCUGGACUAACCUGGAAAAGUGUGAAUUGGCAAAUUCUUAAAUGUCUUGCUCAAUCUACAUUGACUCAAACAUAAAAUGCAGUAUACAAUCAUAAAAACCUAUCUGCUGGGAAACUUUUCUAAUAAAAUCUAGAUGACUAUCAUUUUUGCGGAACAAAAUUAAGUUUUGACCAUGCUUCUAAGAAGGUGUUUAGUUUCACAAGAAACAUCUUUCCUGUUAAUACUGGAAAAAUUGAACAAAAGAAACAUGUUUCCCCCUUAGAACAAAAGACACAGAAGAUAAACUUUUCCACUUGUACAUACCUGCCAACCGGCUUCAAUGGUAUUAAGAUCAUUUCCAAAAGUGCCAGAAAUGAUCCAGACUUGGGACAAACUGAACUCAUAUGGGUCUGUGACGCGAGGUGUCCAUACAUUUAUGCUGACCUUAGCUCCAUAAAACUGAUCUCCAUUUACAAAAGCAACUGCAUGCUACAUUGCAAAGAAACAAGUAUCAUCACAAUGACCAAAUUCAUGCUAGAUAACCAUGAAUUUGUGCACUGUUAUUCGACCCCUUUAUGUUGAUCUUUUGAUGCUACAGUUAGACUAAAGCUGAGAGCAAAAGAUGUAUUAGGGGCUUUGGAAUUCAGACUACAGACUGAAGCAACCAUGGUAUAUUCACUUUUUCAAAAUGAAAUUUCCGCAAAUAUAACUAAGGUCUUAUACCAUGCCACUCCAAUUAGUAAUUUUAUUUGAAAGAGCACUAGCCCUUUGGUUGUAACUAUACACAAAAGAGAAGAGGGCGGAAUAGGACAGUUUACCUCAUGUCUAACCAUCUUUUCUCUUAUGGAUAGAACAGUCACAUCUUCAGCUACAUCUAUCUGAAUAAAUGACAUGUUUUAUAAAAGCAACUAACUAAGGCUUUUUAGUCCCCCCACUUCCCUAUCCUUAGUAAAUAGAAUCUAAUUCACUUAGGAAAUAAAGGUUUCUUCUCUGUGUAUUUUCCUCUGAAUUAUGCUACAAACUUCACAUACUAACCUCAUGAUCACUGCUCAUGGUGUCAUGGCGUACAUUUCUGAUUUUUCUUCCAAAUCUUCUCAGCUUGCUAGCUCUCAGGACAUCUUUCUCGGUAGUUCUUCUAAUUGGUAUGGUCCCUUCUGGACAGGCUUCACCAGAAUCAGUCCAUAGUUGAAAGCUCUCUGUCAAUGCAUCAAUGGAGUCAUGGCCUUUAGGCCUCUCUGGCGGUUCCUGCAUUUACUUGAUCAAUAUUUUUCAGGGAAUCACAAAUGACAGAGAUUUUAUACAAACACAAAAUUGAAGAGUUCUGCUUUGAUCUGAACUUAUAAGAGUACCAGUGGCUUCUGUCCUUUGAGCUGAGGGUGAUCAAAAGCUGGUUGAAGAUGAGAUAGAACACAAUCUAUUACAUCACCAUCUGGGCUCUGCAGGAAUUAUAGAAUAACAUUAAAUCAGUAGACUCAAACCUAACGAGACAUCAAAACUUUUCAAAUUUGGUAAGAAACAGAACUACAAAAGUCAGAGAAGAAUGCCUUAAUUGUCUUGACUGCUGGCUUGUUGAUCUUCUUCAGAUAACUUCUAAUCCUCCUCAACCUAUGCAAUUCUGAUCGCGGCCGGAAAGUUUGGUUGGAUAAGAGAACGUUAUGACUGGAAUCUGAUGCAUGGAUAGUAGGCUUGGACGAGACAGGAGCAGUAUUAAAGGAAACAAGAACUGACAAAACAACAAAUGUGAAAAUGAUUGGAAGUUUUCUGUAAGAUGUUGUAGUGGAAGAAGAAGCCAUACUGCAGCUUCUUGUUGAAUGUCCUUGUGUGGUUGUUUCUUCUGUUAAUUUGGUUUGAGUUUGUAUGCAUUUGUGUGUCCUCUCUAUAGUCUAUGAUCUAAUUUACAAAACAGAAACAUGGUUUAUUCCAAAAGUUUGUCGAAUGGCCACCAGCAUUACAUACCCAUCAACAAACAAUUCAAAUGUGUACAAACUAAAACAUCCAACAGAAAAGUUAAACCGGUUCACUCCUCAACAUUUUCUAUACUUCUUUUUCCUCUCUCUCUUCCUCAGGGAUUGUGUUUCUAGUGUGUCUUGGUCUUGUGUUUCUGACACACACAACCUUCAGCCUGGGCUUGUUAAAAUAGGCCCCUACCAGAGGAGGUUAUUGACACAAGGGAUUCUGGUCAAAAGGGCCUUAUUUUAAUAGAGUAACAGGCAUUAGGGGUUGUUUACCUGAUGAUAGAACUAGAAUUCAAGGCAUUAUUUGUUUUCCUUUUUCUCCAUCUUUUCAACUUUUUGCAGGGUUCAGAUUAUGGUUCUUUGCAUGUUUAUUUCCACUUUUUGCAUGCUCGUCAAUCCUGUAUAAUAUACUAGUAUAAUUCAUUAGUUAAAAAACAAAAACUCCACAUUUCAAACUUUCAGAUUCUUGUUUCUUAUAUUUUGUCCUGCAAGUUUUGGCGUAUUAGUAAGACAAGUGGAGAAUGUUUACCACUGUAGAUUGGAACUCAUUGACUGUUGAUUCUUGAGUCUAAAAUGAAGUGGAGUUUAAUUGGACAACUACUUGAUAUAAUGAUGAAUCUGUAUGAAUGGUCGCUACAUAAUGAUUGCAGUACCAAUACAGGUAGAGUAAAUGAAGGAUUGUACAAAGCGGACAUUUUUUGGUGGACCAUAUAUAAGACACAUGAUUUGCACAAACAUGAAGAUAAUGAUUACCAUCAGAAAAAUGUAAAAUAUACACUAGAAUAGAGACACAUCAUGAUGAUGCAAAAAAUAAAGUAUAUCAUUUUUGACUUGCUAUUUUUGAGAAUCAUCAUAACCUAAAUCAUAAUCAAGAUUAUCAUGAUUUAUGAAUUUUGACCUUGAAUAACUAAAAGUAAAAGAUUCUCAGCAGCACUUCUACCAAUGAACUUUUGUUUAGUGUGAGGGGAGAAAGGUUUUAAAUUCGAAAUCUCUUAUUUACAGCUCUCAUGUAUACUUAUUUGGUUCCUCGUAUUAUUUAACACAUCCAUCCCUCUCUUCUGCCAAUGAACUUGUGCACUAGCAGUCUUGUAGCAUUAUUUGUUUGUAAUAUGGAGUAAGUACCAGAUUGCCCUCUAUAAUUAGAAAACCUACAAAUUAUUCCCUGCAAAUAAAUAACCAAACACUUGGGUUAUAUUUUAGGUAUGAAAAGACAAUGAUGCCUUCGGAUAUGCAAUGCUUUGAUAGUUUCAUCCUAAGGAAAUGAUAUUAUUAUUAUUUUUAAUUAAAAAAGUGUUUUAUCUAGGAAAAUGACAAUACAAUUGUAGAAAUAAAUAAUUAUAGACUUCCAUGAAUUAUUUAUAGUAAAUAUAUAUUCUAGUUACUUAUGAUAAUUUAUUCGAUUUAAAUAUUUUUCAUUAGAAAAUGAUGACAUGCAUUUAAACAUCAAAAGAAAUUAUUAAUAAGAACAAAGAAAGAAAAUUGAAAGUGAAAUACUUUUGAUGAAUAUUUACUUUUCAUUUUUGAUAGAAUGCUUUUUUAUAGGAAAACUGAAAAAUACAUUUCACGAUUGAAUAAUAUCAAGGUUGUGCAUAUAUGUAUUUCAAUGUCAUUUUUCUUUCUUUGAAAGUGAAAUAUACAUAUGUACAUACAUACAUACAUACAUAAAUGUACAUAUAUAUAUAUAUGUAAAUAAGCAUUGAAUAUUACAUAUAUAUAUAUUUAAAGAUAUAUUAUUAUUCUAUUACCAUUUUCUAGACACAAAAUGUUUUUUACUACAAAAAAAAUAUAGUAACAUCCGUUCCGAAGAAUAAAAUGAAGAAAUCAUUAUGUAAUCAAGGGUAUGACUAUCUUUUCACACCUAAAAUUUAAUCCAGAUGCUUGACCAAGUGUUUGUAGAAAGGCAAUUCAUGUAUUUUCUAAUUACAAAGGAGCAACUUGCAAUUAAGCAUAUCUUGAAUUAACUUUCAUUAGAAAUCCAAUUGCAUUACAUAAAUCAGAAUGGGAAGGGAUUCUGUGAAAUUGUGAAAACAAUUGCACCAUCUAAUUGAUGGCCUAGGUGGGUGAAUUUAAAAUAAAAUAGUGGGUUUGAUUAUGAUAUAUAAUUUUCAACAAAUAAAAAACUUAUCUAUUUUUUUACACAUUAUUAUCUUAGUGUCUAUAUUUAUUACAUUACUAUGUAUAUAUGCCGUCAUAGUAGUACAUAUAUUCCAUCAUGCAGUUAACAUUAGUGAUUGCAUGGUAAUUGCGGAGCCCCGGAUAGAAUAUGCAUCUUAGGCCAUGUUUGGAUUACUAUUUUCUAGAAAAAAAUAUUUGCGUUUUCUGUUGACACAUUUCCUUAGCAUUUUGCACCAUUGCCAGCUGAAAAACAGUUUCACCUAAGAAGCUUUGGAUCACUUUGCAGUGGAAAAGUCGAAUAAGAUCCAACAUCUAGAAAGAAAAUAAUGUUGCUCCUCUUUAUAUUAACAGAAUGGCCCUUUUGUGGUCCUCAUAAAUUUGAAAAUGAUUAAUGAAUUAUUUUAUGGAUUAAUUUUUUCUACAGUGAGAGUGUAUAUACUAUCAGCAUUAGAUGAAUAACAAUUAUGCAAAAUUUGAAUUUGAAAUUUAACUUUUACACAUAUGUCAUAGAUCCAACGGUGAUAAUGUAUACACUGCCAGUAUAUAUAAGAUUUACUCUUAUUUUAUUUGUAACUUAACCUCUUAAUUGAUGAAAUAAAUUACUCAUGUGGUAGUUAAUUAACCAGAGAUUUGAUUGAAAAGGUUCUUGGACAUUGUCUCCUUCCUCAAAUAAUUGGAUUCGAACAACUGCAAUCUUUUUCCUCAAUGCUACUUUUCCCACAUUAAUUUUUUUCACACCAUUUAAAGAAUAAAAUAAUCUAGAGAUACCAUAUAGCAUCUUGUUCACUACAAAUUUUUUUUUUUCUAAAUAAAAGAGAAAGAUAUUUUGCCUUAUAUUUUCACCACUUUAGAGGUGGCCAAUUUCAUGUAGGCGUCUUUCUCCAGUUUGAAGAAGUAUAUGGUAACCACCUGCAUGUUAGAAUAUGUAGUGAAUUAGAAAAUGAGGUGAAAAUAUGAAAAAAAAAUUUAGGGAAUUUAUUUUCAGAAAAACCCUUUUUGCAUUCAUUUAAUAUAGUAGUGUCCUUUUCCAAUUGAAGUCAGGAAUGCAUCAACCACUAGAAGAAAUGUAGACAUUCAACUACUUGGGGAAUCCUCAAGAGUUAGCAUUGUGGUAUGCCACUUAAUUUGGGUAAGCACAAAAAGUUUGGGCCCUAUCAAAGGCUCUCUUUUAUAGGGUUCUGGUGCCCUCCACUAUAAGACUGCCCUUAGUACUAGUAGUAUUACUUUAAUUGUCUCUUCUUUUCACAAAAACCCACUCACAUUUCCCAUCCACUUCUGCUGCAAAGAUAAGGAUGUAUUCUUUCUUGAUAUUGGCCCAUGAUAAAGUGUCACUCUCCUUGUAAACAAUAGCAAAGAGUAUUCAUGUUAUCUCAGUGGAAACAUGCCCUUUUUGUAAAGUUGGCAUGAAAGAAUAGAUUCCCACCCACAACCUAAAAAAAAGUAUAAUUUAUAGUUAUAUGAGUUUUUACUUAAUAAAUUGCAACCAUAUAUCUUCUUAAAACUCGUGUUAGUGACAUGUAUAAUGUUUGCUUGCUUGUAAUAUUCUGAUUAUGUAUAUUAAAAAAAGAACAUUACAUCAUGUAUUGCUUAGAUAUGAAGGAGAUUAAUUAGACGGAAUUGCUUUGAAAGUUUUAUAUGUCACCUUUUUUUUGAUAAAGUGCACAAAAGGCUGCCAGCCUGUUGAAUUUGACAUAGAAAUAAUAAAAGUAUACCCUUUAAAAUUAAUUGUAAAGCAUUAUUCUUGAACAGCUUUAUCAUUUUUUUUUUUUGCACAUUCUCUCUUGAUUUCAACAGCACCAAUUAUAUAAAUGCAUAUUUUGACAGAGACAUUGAAUUCUUCAAGCCUAUACUCUACUCUACUCUACUAGAGAAUAUAUAGCAUACAGGCCUCAUUCCCUGUGCAGAAGAUAUUCAUCUGGUUUCAGGCUUUCAGGCUUCAGCCAUUAGGAAUCAAAAGGUUCUGCCUGCCUUAUAUGCCUGAAGGAACUAUCCAAUUAUUUUGCUCGAGCUGUUGUUCUUUGUUUAUUUUCAAAUUUUUUUCCUAGUAAAGAAAGGAUGAAAUUUAAGAAAGAAUUAGAGCUCAAAAUCUUCACGUUUUCAUACCUCAACCUUAGCCAAAAUUAAUUAUUAGAAUCAUUUGAUGCUUGGUUUUGAGCAAUAAGUUGCCCUUCUUGAGCCCCCCUCAAGAAAGAAGAUAAUGAAUUUGGAUUUUGAGUGAAAAUGGCAGCUUGAAUUUAGACCAAAUAUCACUUGACUAUGGAAUUAGCGAGGGUUUUAAUACUUUGAUUACCACAUUACAAAGGUAAACAACUUUAAAAUAUCGGUUUCUAACUUGAAAAAUGUGCAAAAUGGACCCCAAAAAAAAGAACUAGUCUCUCUAACUUUAUUUUUUUUUGGUCAAUCAAUUCGAUAAAUCAGCCAACUCAUGGACAAAGAGGGAUAAUUGAAAAAUGUGCCAUCUAAGCAUGGGAAUAUUGUAGGGAAUCCCCUCAAUUUUCCAUCACAACACCACCUAUCAGAACUGUUAGCUUGUCCUAUAAACAGUGCCUGUGCCAGGUUAGAAAUCACUAAUCAAAACAUCCCACUAUGUUCUAUUACAAGAUGACGAUGGCUCACUGAAAAGAUGAACAAACUGGAAAGCAUGUGAUGCAAUCUUUAUUGUACGAAAAAGCUUUGUAGUUUUUCUACCAUCUUUCUGGAAGAAAGCACAAAUGCGCUGUUUUCUUUAUAGACAUAUCAGACUAUGAAAGCCCCAAAUGUAUAACAAGAUGUUUUGGUUUUAUAUGAAAAUAGACAAGCUAGGAAACAAAGGAAAAGCAAGGUUUGCCGUGCUCAAAUUGAACUUCAGAAAGCAAGUUUGCUUUCAAAUCCCACCAUAUUUAGUUCUCAAAAAGAGAAUUAAGAGAGACAAACAUCAAUUAACAUAGGUUUUAUUACAUGGUUUUUCCAUACUGCAAAAUAUCAGAACUAAUCAACUUAAAGGUUCUGACAAGAAUUGUGCAAACAUGUAUAAGAUUGACUACAAGAGGAAACACUACAAAAGAUCAGAACUGAUCAACUUAAAGGUUCUGACAUGAAUUGUGCAAAUAUUAUAAGAUUGGCUACUAGAGGAAACAUGGGCUACCUUUAGUCACAAAAAAUAGAAAUUUGGACCAAGUACAAAACUGGAUCAUGAAACAUUUUAGAAGAAUGUGUGACUCUGAUCCUGAAAUAUUUUAAUUAAUCAGGAAAACUAAAAAUCUUUUUCUCAUUCUGCAUAAUGUUCAAAGACUAUACCUCUUUCCACUUUCAAGCUUCCCCGUACCGUUCAGUUAUUCAUUUAUUUUAUCAACAUAUCACAUUAUUGAUAAAAGUAAAGUAUACUGUGUGAAAAUCUGUAGAUUCUGCUAUAGCCUGAAGUCUCUUUGGCUGAAUAAGCAAAACUUUUAGAAUUCAUACUUCAUUUUCUUUUUUUGCAGCAUGAUCUAAUGAAAUUUCUUAAACCAUUAUCAUAUCAACCAAGAUGCGCUACACUAACAUUUCUUUGAAACGAUUUAUAGUAUUAGAUAAGAUGGACCAUAGAGGAAUUUGUUGGUGUCUCUCUAAGUUGCAGUGGUUCGUCUGUGGUAUUAACCAAUUAUGAAAAUAUCCCCUUAAGAUAGGGAAAAAAAUUCUUUAUCUUACACACAUUGUUCGGAUUCUAGAGCAUUUAUGCGCUCCAUGGAAAUGUAGAUUCUGAUGCCGGAGGAACCUUUUACGGGAUGAGACUUUAUCUUUUUUUCUUUUUGAAUUUUUGGAGGAGAUGAUACACCAAUACUAAAGUCUUUGAGCAAUGGUAACUUUCAAUCUUCAAUCUCCAAUUUUCCCCGUCAAAGUUACUAAUGGCAUUGACAAGAAUUGUUAAUACAUGAAUUCUUGAGAACUGUUAUACAUAUAUAUUACUCCAGCAAGUGAUGAUUAAUAUGCAAUAACGAUAGGGAGUAACAAUGGAGGUUCCACGAUUAUGUACAAAAAAUUUCGUGUCAUUCUUAAGAUAAUAAGAUUACGAGAAACCUACAAAAGUUGGUGUAAUACUGCGAGGAAUACUAACAUAGAAUUGGAGGUAAUUCUUUUGUUUAUUUUUAUUAAGAUUAGUCAAACAGUACAUGCUUUGCAUGUUAGUUCGUUACCUCUAUUCUAGCUAGUGAAACGAUAAUCAUCUCAAAACUAAUAAAAAGAAGGGUAAAAUAUGCUAUUCCACGUAACUUUCCUGUAGUUUCAAAAGUUAAAUAUCAUCCCCUUAUAAUUUGAACUCAAGUAUCAAAGUGACAGAAUUUGCAUUCCAUUGCAUGACGGAAUCAACUAAAAUAUCAAAAAUACCCCUAUAUAAAAUUAGAAAUUAUUUAUUAACCAUAGAGAAGUUAUCUAUAUAUUUUGGAAACCAUACAAGGGUUACAUGAUAAAGUACUAAACAAAAAGUGGGUUAUGUGGUAAAAUACAAAAACAACAAGAGGUUAAAGUAUCAUGCAUAUUUUGUUUAUAUAUUUUGGUCACUUCGGUCAUUUUAACUUGAGCAAAUUAUCCCAGUGGCCACUAAACUUUUACCAUCGUCGAGUUUUGGUCACUCAACUAUUAAAAGGCUGGUUUUGACCAUCAAACUGUAUAAAAGGUAGAUUCGAGCCCAUUCUGUUAGAUUUAGUCGUUAACUUCGCAGAGGUGUCUGUCCGCGCGAUUUUCAAUACAAAAGGUAGGGUCAAUUUAGGAAGUCGAAAAUAUCACUUGCACCUCUUCUUCCUCUCCCAUGCAUCUGUUCUUUUUCUUCCUUGCCUAAACCCAAACAUCAAACAAUUGACAAUUAAAGAAAAACGCAACAACGAAGAAAUUUGGGGGAUUGAGCGACAGCAGAACGGGUUGACAAACAAGAUCUUCAUUUCGUGGAACGAUGGAGUGGCCCAAGUGGGUGAUUAGACCAAGGGGCCAGCAUUUUGAUCCAUCUGAUGCAUACGGUAAAGUUUUAAAAUCCCUAAGUUUAUUUAGUUAUCCACAUCCCAGAAUAGAUUGUGUGUUUCAUGUAUGUAUGGGCUACAUUUUAUCGUUGUUUUGGCUUUUUGCAAUAAAGCAUAGAGAUUUCAUAGUACACUGAUUAAAGUAUUCUUAAUGCUGGAAAAAGGGGUUAAUAAAUAAUUCAUUCAUUGAAUUUGGGUUUACUAGUUUUGACUAAAAUUUUAAUUUUUUUAACUAAUCGCAUGUCAUGCAGUGCCAGGUUCUUCUCUGUUCACCAUACGAAUGUAUCAUGGGGGUAAAUUCAAUUGGCAAAAUUACAGAUACAUUGAUGGGCAUGUAGAUUAUGUUGAUUUAUGUGAUGCGGAAACAAUGUCUGUGCAUGAAAUAAACUACAUGGUGGAUAAAUUAGGGCAUUAUGGAUGUAUGGUGUAUUACUAUGUUGAGCCUGGAAAAGAUUUUCGAAAUGGGUUGAAGGAAUUAUCUACUGAUAAAGCCAUUAUCAGUUUUUGCAAUUGGGCUUAUAAGCAUAAAAUCAUGGAGGUGUACUGUGACCACCAGUCAAAGAAUGAAAUCAAGAUGAUGGCCACAAAGUCCCUUCCUUCUGAUCUACAACUGAGUAAAAAAGCCGCAGUCACCAUCGAGGAACUUGACGAAAAUGGAAAUGUUAUUAGGGAACCUGGAUUUGAACUAGUGCCAUUUACAAGAUCAAUUGGCAAGAUAGAUGUUGGGAACUCUUCUAAAGAGAAUGCCUUGAAUAAUGGGGAUGAUGGGGAUGCAAAUGAUAGAGGAAAUAUAGAUGGCCAAGUGGAGACUGAUACUGAUUCGGAUGGAGACUGUGAUCGCUUUAGUGCUGAUAGGGAUUUCUGUAGGGAUGAAGAAAUGUUAGAAGAAUUGAUUGUUGAGGGGCUAAAAUCUGGUGUGGAUUCUUCAAAUACAGAGCAACCUAGAUCUUCACAGCAUCCCAAUUCUAAUGAUGAUUGUAAUAAUGCUGCACAACAGCAAGAAUCAGUUGUAGAUGAGCUAGGCAGACAACAACAAACAGUUGGGAUGGAUCCAUGGUCACAACAAUCAGGACUUGAAACUGAAUUUGAACAUCAGCAGCAGCCUGAGACAAAUGAAGAACAACCCACGGAUGUGGGAACUGGAAACCAACAGUCGCGGAGGAAGAAGCAAGUUAGAAGGAGAAGAAACAACAAUAGAGCAUCAGGAGAAGAGGCAGCUCCUCAUUUAGAUGAUGUCCAUGCAUUAGAUAAAGACACAGUGGUGACUGAAUUGCAUAGUGAUGCUGGCUCCUCAGAUGAAGAGAAUGAUGAUGACUGGAGGAAUAGGUAUGUUGAUUUCAAUCCGGAGAGAGAUCUAAAAGACCCUAAUUUUGAGUUUCACAUAGGAAUGAAGUUUGAGUCAGCUGAACAGCUAAGAUUAGCUGUUAGAACAUAUUCCAUCAUGAAAGGAAAACCAGUAAAGCCAUACACAAAUGAAAAAAAAAAGGUUUAGAGCAAAAUGCAAACCUCCUUGCCAAUGGUUUGUUUAUGCUUCAGUUGAGAGGGAACUUGGAAUAGCUGAUUUGGUUGUCAAGAGCAUGAAUAAUGAGCACACAAACUGCAGUCAUGUAUGGAAGAACAAGAAUAUUUCUGCUAAGUGGCUUGCAAACAAGUACAUGGAGAGAUUUAGAUGUAAUGUUGAAAUGCCUCCAAAAUUAUUAAGACAAAUAGUUGAUGAGGACUUCAAAGCUGAAAUUUCAAAAUGGGUGGCAUACAAUGCAAGGGCAAUUGCUAAAAAGGAGAUUCAAGGGAAUGCAGAGCAGCAAUAUAAGGACAUAUGGAGAUAUUGUGCAGAAAUUAAGAGGACACACCCAAAUACCACAAUGGAAGUUAUGUUUACUCCCUUCAGACAACCUGGAUGCAACCCAAAAUUCAUGAGACUUUAUUGCUGUUUGGGACCAUUAAAACAAGGCUUUCUUGACGGUUGUAGGCCCAUUAUUAGGGUUGAUGGAUGCCACAUAAAGGCUGAAUAUCGGGGACAGCUGUUGACUGCUAUUGGAGUAGAUCCCAACAAUGGAUGGUGGCCCAUUGCUUGGGCAGUGGUUGAGAGGGAAGCAACUGAACAGUGGAAAUGGUUUUUUGAGCUGCUGAAGAAUGACUUGCAGAUUGAAAAUGGGUACAGCUACACCUUUGUUUCUGACCAGCAGAAGGUAUUAACUCCUUCCCUUUGUAUAUGCACAGUACACAAAUCUGUUUCAAUUUACUAAUGCCUUUUGUUUGUAAUAAUUUAUAGGGUCUUGACCGAGCAUUAUCUGAGGUACUACCAAACAGUGAGCACAGAUACUGUGUGCAGCACCUGUAUAACAACUUCAAGAAGAAACAUCGUGGACUUGCCCUGAAGACAAAACUGUGGAACAUUGCAGCAAGUACUACUGAGGGACUAUUCAAGAAAGCAUCAGCAGAUCUGGAAAAUUUUGACAAGGAAGCAUAUGAAUGGGUGAAGAAAGCACCACAUCCCAGUCAUUGGUGUAAGACUUUUUUUUCAGAACAUACUCGAUGCGAUAUGUUGGUUAAUAAUUUGUGUGAAAGUUUUAAUGGUCAUAUACUUGAAGCUAGGCAGCAGCCAAUUAUCACAAUGUUAGAGUCCAUUAGGAUAUUUCUGAUGGAGAGGAUACAGAGAAGGACAACUGCAAUGGAGAAGUUUGAAUUGUCCAUUGGCCCACUAAUUAAAAAAAUAAUUGAUGAUAGGGUGAUAGAAUCAAGACAAUGGAGGACCAUUUGGAAUGUUGUGGAUGGAUACCAGGUUAGGGGACCAAGGGGGGCCCAGUUUGCUGUUUAUUUAAAGAAAAAAUCCUGCACAUGCAAACUGUGGGAUCUAUCAGGUAUUCCUUGCUGUCAUGCUAUUGCAGCAAUUCACAGAAAUAAUGGCGACCCCUAUAAAGAGGUGUAUGACUGCUACAACAGAGAUCUGUUUCUAAAAAUUUACAAAAAUGUUUUGUAUCCUAUCAAUGGACAAGUAAUGUGGCCUGAAACUGAUGGGGUGGAUCUUGAUCCACCAGAAAGGAUAGUGCAACCUGGCAGACCUAAGAAGGCCAGGAGAAGAGAUCCUACUGAAACUCAAAAGACUGGAAACAGGUUGCGGAGAAGAAUAGUCAUCCAUUGCAGAAAAUGUGGUGUUGCCGGCCAUAAUGCAGCUGGUUGCAAGGUGCAGCAACAAGACAAUCAACAACAGCAGAAUCAGGAUAGCGAGGAGCAGCAGCAGAACCAACAGCAGCAACGUGGUUCUAAGAACAUGCAGCAGCAACAACAGAACCAACACCAGCACCAGAGUCAGCAUGAACAGACCCAACACCAACACCAGAGUCAGCAUGAACAGACCCAACACCAGCAGCAGAGGCAACAUCAGACCCAACACCAGCACCAGAGGCAACAUCAGACCCAACACCAGCACCAGAGGCAGCAGCAGACCCAACAGCAGCACCAGCACCAGCAACACCAGCAGCAGGAUCAAUAUCAGCAGCAGCAAAAUCAGCAACACCAGCAACAGAAUCAACAUCAGCAGCAGCAACAGCAGCAGGAUCAGCAACAACAGCAGAAUCAACAGCAGCAGCAGGAUCAAGAGUAUCAGCAGAACCAACAAGAACAGCAAUCACAAUCUGCUGUUGAGGAAAGUGAACAUGCACAGUAUCGACAGCAGGAAGAAGUUGUACAAAAUCAACAACAGUCUCAGAGCCAAGGGGCUCAUCAACAAAGGAAAGCAGGAAAACGAAAGUUAACAGAUUCAGAAAAGGGGCAGAUCAAUGCCAAUUAUGCAUAUUUAGGUAAAGAACCUCCUUUCACUGUUGAAAAUUGGAGAGGAAAAUGGAGUAGAGCUGGUACUAGAAGAGGAGGAACUUCAGCAACAACUACCAGAGGACAACCAAGAGUCAAAAGAGGAUCAAAUUGAAGAGGAAGUAAAGCUAUAGUUAGAUUGGGACAUAAUGCAACUACAUUUUGUCUUUUUGUUUGAAGUUUGUUUUGGAUUUGAUAUGCUGACCUAUUACGAACAUGGUCCAUAUGUACAAACAAUUUAUUUUGUCCAAUCUACACAGAUUGUUCUAUGUUAAUGCAGCACUUUUGUUUAGUUCUUAUGUCUCUGUCAUUUAUUGAUGAAAUUAGUAGAGCUGAAAUGUGUUGUUUCAAACCUUUUUUGACACCAAAUAAUAACUAUUUAUUCAUGUGAACAAUACAACUUUUAUACAUCAAAAUGUUUAUACAGAGGGGUACAAAAGGGGCUUUAUAAAGCCAUUUGCCCUUUCCCUUUCAAUAUGCUACCAUUACAACAGAGUAGCUAUUCUUCAAGGAUUUUCAACGAUGCCACAAAUUUGUAGCAUGCCACCAGAAUUAUCUAUUCUCAUAACUAACAUUGCUAAGACAACUAUUAGCCAAGGCAACACUGCGCAUCGAAUGAGUCGCUUAUUGGCUGAUUUGUACUUGGCAAUUUCAGUUUGAAGUGGCUUCAUUUUACCCUCCAAUUUCACAGCUUUUGCUUCCCACUUUCUUGCAACUUUUUCAAAUUCAACCAUUUUUUCCUCCAUUCCAUUGAUCUUUCUGAGUAGACCCGGUAUAAUCAUUGUAGAUCGAGCGCACAUUUCAUCAUCUAUCCAACCCCAAUAGCCACAGCCAUCCUUCAAAAAAAAACAAAUUCAUUAUAUUUCUUACACAAUAAUAAAUUAAGUAUCUAAAAAAAUGUUACAAACCUCCCCCAAUGCGCAUUUGGCAAAUCUUCUUCCCGGAUUUUGUGCAGUCCAUGAAGUUAUCAUUACUGUCUUCAUCCCACAAACACAAGUAGGCAAAAUGGGUGUCAACGAUGUAGGUGGCAUGGAUCUUGCUGGCCCGACUCUUGGUGGCGUUGAUCUUGGUCCUGCUUCCUCUAAUCCAAGUUGGGCUUCUUCCAUUUCCUUCUCUUGUAGUUUCUCUCGGGUAAGUAAUCUUUAUUAGUUUUAUACAAGAAGAACAAGAAGAUCUAUUUUCGACUUCCUAAAUUGACCCUACCUUUUGUAUUGGAAAUCGCGCAAACGGACACCUCUGCAAAGUUAACGACUAAAUCUAACAGAAUGGGCUCGAGUCUACCUUUUAUACAGUUUGAUGGUCAAAACCAGCCUUUUAAUAGUUGAGUGACCAAAACUCGACGAUGGCUAAAGUUUAGUGGCCACUGGGAUAAUUUGCCCUUUUAACUUUUAAAUAAUGUUAAUUUCAACAUUUCAGUGAGUUCCGUUAUAGAGGAUCAUUUUCAUCAUUUUGAUAUUUUAGUCCAAAUCAUGAGAGGAUUAUGCAAAUAAUCACUAAACCACAGGCGAGGUAAAGUGUAUUUUACUCUAAAAAGAAAAAGAGUUUUAUGGUUUAAGCUAUUCCAAAUUAUGUUUAUCUAAGAAGAAUGAAUCAUCGGUUUAGUAGAGAUGUUCUACAUUUAUAUCAUAAUGUAGAUAUAACACUCAAAAAAUAUUUAAUCAGACCAUGUGAUUAAUAAUUUUGUCACAAAGUAUAGAUUGCUUUUUUUUUUAACCUGUCUUGUCUUAUUACUCCUCAGUUGGAGGCAUACUUAUAUAAGCAUACUUAUGUUAUGGGUCCUAAUAGUUAAUGAUGCAAAAAUUGUUCUCCAAAUAAAUUUACUACCUUUUAGUCCUUCACUCAUAUUAAUUAAAAGCAAAACUUCUACAACAGUUGAAACUCCUUUGGAUUUUCACCUGGAAUAAGCCAAAUUACAUGAGUAUAUUAAUGCAAUAAAUUUGGUAACUAAAAUAUGAAUUUCUAUUUUGAGUAGCUAAUAAGAACCCAAGAAAAGGCGAACUUAAACAAAAAUGCCUCAUAUGUUUUUCUUGCCUUUUGCUUUUCUUAAAUAGAUAUUAGCUCCUUAUUUAUUUGAUUUAGAAUAAUGUUUCUUAUUCUUUCGAAGAGUUAGUUUUGGACUUACAAUGCCAUGAUUAUUUUCCCAUUAAGUAAAAAAAAUAAAAAUGUAUAUAUUAUUUUCCAAAUAUCGUUACUUCCAGUGUUAAGUACAUGAAAUGAUUUACCAUCAAGGUUAAUAAGGAGAAAAUAUUCUGAAAGAUGUUACCUUGAUUGGUAAUUCUUCCAAGUUAGCCGUUAAAAUUAGGCAUUAAUUAUAUUGAAAUUACUGGAAUCAUUGAAUUAGAAUUAGAAAUUGUAAAAUUUUGUAUUAGAAAUAUGCUAGAAAACGUGUUCAUCUUUAGAUGACACAUCUAUCAUUACCUUUAGACAUAUCACGUAAACUUCUUGUUAAUUAAACUAACCUAAAUAAAAAUGUUCAUUUCCCAGCAACUUAAACUCUGCCCAAAAGCAUAGUAGACAAAUUUGAUAGUAAAUAUAUUGCUAAAGAUGUAUAAUAAUGACUUGGAAUAUUUUUAGUCAAAGAAUAUUCACUUUUAGACUGCUUUAAAAAACUGAAUAGCUUGACAAAGAGUACAAGAUAGAUUUAAAAAAUGGUCAAAUUUUAGAUAAUUACAUAAAAAUCUCAUAAUCCUCAAUCCAUAUAAUCUGUCCAUUACUCUGCUAAUUCAAACGUUCGAGAUGGGAACUAUCUCAUCUAUUUGUAACAAAGGAUACAUUUAUAUCCACUAGUAGGAUUGAUUUUCAUUUUUCAUGCAAAAGAGCACGCAAAAAUCCUUGUAGUUCUUUCUUGCAUCACCAAUUAUUGCAAUUUUAAUUUCCUCAAUUAGUUUCUUUCAAGGAUGGAACUUAUUGGCAAUAAAAUAGCAUCAUAUUGCUGCAUUGUCAAGUUUCACAAUUAUAAGAAAUCCUCAACCGGUAAAUGAAAUGCUAAGGAAUUAUUUGUGAUCACAUUUACCAACGAAUGUAAUUUUUUGGUCCAACAUGGAUAUACCCUAGACAGUGUUUCUGCUCCAGGAGCAUAUGUCCAAAGAAAGAGCUGAAUAUUUAAAUCGAAGAUUGAAAAUUUAAAAAGAUAUACAAAAUCAGACAAUAGACUUGAUACACCUAAAUUCAAUACUUUAGGGCGGCGGUGUCAGAGAUAGACCUAGGUAUGGCAGCGACGGCCAUCAUAUCAACCUGUCUGACCCUAGUCAGAUUUUGUCCGUAAGUACCAGACGCCGAGUAACCAAAUGGGUCCAACUGACCGAGAUGGACUCACCUUAGAAGGAUGAAGACGAGGAUGAACACACCUCGGCUGAAAACAUGUUGGGUUGAGUCAUGUUGGGCCGAAAACAUGAAGAUGAGGAUGAGCACCUCGGCCGAAAACAUGUUGGGUUGAGUCAUCUUGGUGAUGCGUCGAGCCGAGGAAGCGAAGGUGAGCGUGGACAUCAGCAUCCAAGUACUAGUCCCAAUGACUAAUAACUCCCCCUCCAAUAUAAAUGCCCCUCUCCUCCUCUAUUACAGGUAAUAAAUAUCAUCUCAAUUCUUCUCAGCUGAGCCCUUUAACACUUCAGAAGCUAAGGUAUGCAUCAAAAUGCCAUCGAGGAGAAAGCGCCGACCUUCUUUGCCUUUGUUUUUGAUGUGCUGCAAGGUUCGAGGUUGGCAUUGCCGAAUUCUUGCUCACACAACAUUCAUAAUUAAAAGAAGAUCAACUAUAAUCAUCACUCAGGUUCCAAUUAAAUAUCUGCACUUCAUUCACUAUGUAAUGAAUUUCACAAGUAAGCAGUUAUAUAACAAAUAAGGAAGCCGAGUUCUAAAUCAUUCUUCGCGCAGCAAUGAGAGCAAAGCCCCAGAGUCUAAGCAAUUUAGAAACUGUAUCAACAUAUCUAAAGGAAGCUAAACGACCAUUCAUGAGGUAAUAACUCCAACCAGCCAAAUCCAAAUGAUCAUAUAAAUUAGAGCAAAUUACUCGAAUAGUUAUUGAACUUUUUGAAUAGUCAAGAUUUGACCACUCAAUUAUUAAUAAUUUGUUUUUAUUUACUCACUUUUUAAUCAAAUGUGUAAAUCUUGGGUUAUUCUAUUUGAUUCCACGGUUAACUCUGCAAGAUCUAAGAAUCCGCAUAAUUUAUGAGACAUACUAUUAAUAGUUAGAUCUAGUAGAAUUAAUUGUAAAAUCAGAUGAAAUUGUUCAAAAUUUAUACUUUUAAUAAUUCAACAGAUAAAAACAUACUAUUAAUAUUUGAGUGACCAAAGCUCCACUAUUCAAAAAAUUUAAUUGCUACCCAGAUAAUUUGCUCUAUAAAUUACUCAUCCACUAAACAGAGUUAGAGUUCUAGUCCCAUAUCAAAAAUCAACAAGUCAUCCAAUAUGUUAGAAGAUUUAUCCCCAAUGAGUUUGUGCGUAAAAACAUACGAAAUUAAGAAAGAAAAAAAAAUUGAAAGCUUUAAAAGCUAAAACUCUUUAAACUGUCCUCUAGUGGAGCCGCAUCACUUUUUUUGCUCGGUGGAUUCAGGGUGUGUUAUAUAACCUAUUACUAAGGGGGUAAAAAGAAAACUAAUUUUUCAUGCCUGCUCAUUGAAAAAUGUACUAUAUGAGAAGCAUCAUGUUCAACCAUUUUUCAUACAUAUCUAGUUGAAAUAUCAUUCUUUGCUCCAUGGUACUUGAGAGGUUUCCAAUCCUGUGAAAGAGGAGAGAAGAGAAGAAAGAAUAGACUAAUGAGUUGUAAAAGAUACAUCUAGGAUUUAAUUAGCAAAUAGUAACUAAAUAAAUAAAUAAAUCAGUAAGUUCAUAAAUGCUAAAUAGAUAAUUGCCGAGAUUAAUAUGAAUGAACUUUUUCUUGAAGAACAAUUUGAAGACUGAAGGCGGUCACUUCGGAUCGUCUUAUCCGAAGUGGUGCCAUGGCCGUGGUUCUUCUUGUCACCUAGGAUAGAUCUCGGCUAGACCUCUGCGACAUCUUGUGGGCUUCAGCCUUUAUGACCCAGAUGGCCGUCGUAUCUCGGUCGCACGCGGGUGAUGUCAGCUAGCCUGACAGGUCAUUAAGGGCCACCACUUUAACUGAAACCCCUAGGACCCUUUAUUGGAAAUAUGCGGGACCACCUGACAAGGUGCCUGAACUACUGUCCCCUGUCAGGAACAGAGGCCGCAGGUGCAGAACAGAAUCGUAAUCCUCAGGAAGCAGGACCCAGUGGCUUAAACCCACUGUCCUUCCCUCCACUCUCACACUCUAUAAAUACCCCCUGUUCACUCCUCACAAAUAAGACUACUGUUGCGCUCAUACUGUUCAUUACUCUUUGUUUUCUUUCUAUACUGACUUGACUGUCGGAGUGAUCUCAGGGGACAAAGCCCCGCCUCUCACUUCGGAACAGCACCCCUGCCUCCUAAUUUCACUUCACCGAAAGAGAGAGCUGAAUUAGGUCAGCUCGGCUACCUAGUUAGAAAUCACAUCUUCAAUUGGCGCCGUCUGUGGGAACGUAACUCUUAAGAUGAGACCUACGCGAUCUAGGAGUAGAAGAGUUCCCUCUACUGGACCUGAGCCCAGCUCCGCUGCUCAGCAAGACCGUGUAUCCGAAGAGCAAGGGUCCCCAAGGGCCCCGCCCACAAACGAAGACGCCAUCGCCCGAAUGGCCGAGUUUGUGGCAGAAAAUCCCAACAUUUUUUAGAAACUCGGAAGGUACUUCAAGCGGUAAGGGAAGGAAAAAGCCGAAUCUUCCAAAAGAAGGUCGGUCAAGUCCCCUGAGAUGACCUCCGGAGAGGACUCCGAUGACGGGCAUCCCGCCCGGAGCACUUCGAAACGCGUCUCCUCCAAAGCCACCUCUAGAAUCGUGUCCAUUUCCAAGGCGUUCUCCCGGGGCUUGCUAGGAAGGUGAACUGAGGCCAAGCCUCGGAAGCCCGAGGGGCUGGCGGCCAAUUACAUGAGGGCUCCGCCCUUUACCGAUGACAUCAAUGGAGAAUUGGUUCCCCCCAACUUCAAACUCCUAGUAUUACAACCCUACGAUGGCGGAGGUGAUCCCGAGAAUCACCUCCAUGCCUUCAUCUCAGCAUUUCGGCUGUACUGCGUCCCCGACGCUGUGGUCUGUCAAGCCUUCCCUAUUUUCCUGCAGGGUACUGCCAGGAAAUGGUUCUGGAGUCUGGAACCUACGAGCAUUUUCUCGCUGGACGAGCUGGUUGAUAGGUUUAUCCACCGCUUCGUAUCGUCUUGCCCUGUUACGAAGACCUCGACCUACCUACUGAACAUACAGCAGGCUCCCGGGGAGUCUCUGCGUUUAUACGUGCAAAGGUUCAAUGAAAAAAAAGUGCAGAUACCUGACCAAAACGAGCAGGUGACCAAAGCUGCCUUCACCAAUGGGUUGAUCGCGGGAACGUUCCACACCGAAAUUCAUCGGGACUACCCACGAAUGUUUCGGGAACUCUGGGAAAGGGUGAACUGAGAUAUCCGAAAUGAGGACCUGAAUCGCAUGAAACGGGAAGCCCAAGCAGCCCGCACUGGGCAAGACUCCCGAAGGAAGAAAGAGGCAAGCCGAGUCGAACAGGGCCCCAGCGGCUCGUCCAACCCAUUCCAAGAUCACUGGAGUGUUUUUGAAAAAAUUACGAAUGGGAGGUCGUCCACCUCGGACGCCGAGGUAACACCUCUCAACUCCAGCCAGUCUCACAUUCUGGCUGUAAUGAGACAAAAUCACCUCGGUCGAGACCCUCCUGGGAUUCUGGGGAGGAGAGAGAAGAAGAAUCUCAGCCUCUCCUGUGCUUACAACCUGGAUGUUGGGCACGAAACCGAGGAUUGUAACGAUUUGAAGAAAGAAAUCGAAAACUUGAUCAGGCAGGGAUACUUGAAGCAGUUCGUCAGCAAGGAUGGAGGCUUCAACCGAAACGCUUCCCACCGGGAAAAUCGAGGCUAUCGUCGAGAAGACAGGUGGGUCAUGAAGAGUCAUUGCCGUGGGUCUGAAAAUCGUGGGAAGGACCAAAGGCCUUCACGAAACGGGUCCCUGGGCUACGGCCCUAACAUCGCUAGGGUUAUCAACACAAUUGCGGGUAGUCCGACGGGAAAGGACAGACAGAACUCCCGAAAACGAACCUACCGUCAAGUCGGUAUAGAGGCUGCCGAGCCGAGCUCCAGGCUAUCCGAGGUGAUCACUUAUGGUCCCAGUGACCCUGUUCCUGCCACCUCCAGCAACCACGAAACUCUCGUGAUUGAAGUUCUCACCAAUAAUUACAUAGUCAAGAAUGUCUAUGUCGAUCCCGGCAGCUCGGUAGACGUCCUGUACUACAAAACCUUUGAAGGCUUGAAACUGACCAAGGAGCAGCUUACCCCUGUCAGGACCCCUCUUGUGGAAUUCGGGGGACACGUGGUCCAUCCUGAAUAGAUGGUCUCCCUGAUGGUGACCAUUGGCCACAACCCCCACUGCCGGACCGUCCCUGUAAGUUUUGCCGUGGUCAGAGCCGACUCCCCAUAUAACAUGUUGAUCGGUUAGCCCACGCUCAACGUUUUGAGGGCUGUGUACUCUACCUACCACCUGAGUUUCAAGUUCCCAACACCCGCUGGAGUGGCCGAGGUGAGUAGCGACGUGAACGCGGCCAGGGAGUGGUACCUCGCCACCAUACAGGUCGCAGUCACCCCUCGAGUUGAAUCAAAGGCUGAGGGAAAGAGGUCGAACUUCCUCUCCAUAGGCUACAUCGAUCCCCAGGACGCCGGAAAAUCCAGCAGGCUAGAGGCCGGGGACGAGGUGGAAGAGGUGGUCCUCGACGAUGUGAGACCCGACCAAGUGAUGCAAGUGGGAACAAGCCUCACAUCGCCCCUCAGGGAAGAAAUGAUCAACCUGAUAAGAGAGCACCGAAACGUCUUCGCGUGGACCGCUGAAGAAGUGGUCGGGGUGCCCCCGAACUAUGAUUCACCGACUUAACGUCGACCCACAGGCCCGUCCUGUGAAACAAAUGAGGAGGCACUUCAGCCUAGAGUGCAGGCAAGCUGUUUCCGGUGAAAUUGACAAACUCUUGCCCGCCAAGAUGAUCCGGGAAGUCCAAUACCCCACCUGACUGUCCAACCCUGUGAUGGUGAAGAAGGACGCCGGUGGGUUGAGAAUGUGCGUGGACUUCACCGAUCUCAAUAAGGCAUGCCCCAAAGACUGCUACCCACUGCCAAGAAUAGAUGCUCUCGUUGAUUCGGCCAUGAAACAUAAGAUCAUAUACUUCCUAGACGCCUUUAAGGGAUACCACCAAAUAGAAAUGAGCGAAGAGGAUCAGGAGAAAACGGCGUUCUACACUGAUCGAGGUGUCUAUUGUUACACAACAAUGCCUUUCGAGCUCAAGAAAGCCGAGGCCACUUACCAGAAGCUAGUCAACCGAAUCUUCAAAGAUCAGAUCGGCCGAAAUAUGGAAACCUAUGUGGAUGACAUCCUCCUGAAGAACCGGACCACCUCGGUCUUCCUGUCAGACAUGAAGGAGGUCUUCAGCAUCCUCCGAGAUUUUCGAAUGAUGCUGAAUCUGAAGAAAUGCAUUUUCGGUGUCAUUUCGGAAAAAUUCUGGGAUACCUGGUAUCUCGCCGAGGUAUCGAAGCGAACCCUGACAAAGUGAAGGCUAUUCAGGACAUGUCACGGCCUCGGAAUGUCCGAGAAGUGCAGAGGUUGAAUGGCCACCUUGAACCGCUCUCUCCCAAUCCGCCGAGAAGGCUCUACCCUUUUUUAAGGUGUUGAAGAAAGCUGAUCGAUUCACCUGGACUGAGGAGUGCCAACAGGCUUUCGAUCAGAUGAAAGAGUACUUACACCGCUUCCCUACCCUCGCCUCACCGUGACCUGAGGAGAGGUUAUACAUGUACCUCUCCGCGGCUGAUGAGGCUGUCAAUGCGGUGCUCAUCCGAGACCAUGGUACCCAGGUGCCCAUUUAUUAUGUCAGCCGAGCUCUCCGUGGGCCGGAGACUCGGUACACUCAGGUGGAGAAACUAGUGCUGGAAUUGGUCCAUGCGACUCGACAAUUAAAGUCUUAUUUUCUGGCCCAUCCUAUCUCAGUCAGAACUGAUCAACCUAUUCGACAGAUAUUGGUGCGUCCCGAGAUUUCCGGACGCCUUACCAAGUGGGCUGUCGAACUAGGAGAAUAUGACCUGUCAUACAAACCCCGUACGACGAUCAAGGCCCAAACAUUAGCAUAUUUUCUAGCCGAAUUUACGUUCUCCGUGAGCCAAGACGCCAGCUUAGCACCAUUCGGGCCUCAAAACUGGACGCUGUAUGUGGACGGAUUUUCCAACAGUGAUGGCAGCGGAGCAGGGCUGCUCUUAGAAGAUCCCCAUGGAGAGGUAUGCUUGUACACCCUCCGGUUUGACUUCUUUGCAACCAAUAAUGAGACCGAGUAUGAAGCUUUGAUUGCGGGACUUCGGCUAGCCCGCAAACUCGGUUCUCGACAAAUCCAAGUCUACAGUGACUCUCAACUUGUGGUAUGCCAAGUACUUGGCGAAUACGAAGUCAGGGGAGAAACCAUGCAACGGUAUCUUUUUAAAGUUCACCAACUCGCUGCAUAUUUCGAGUUAUUUCAAAUCCAAAUAAUAUUUCGGUCGCAAAAUAGGCGAGUUCGUUCUCGGCUCUCAACAAGACGGUUCUUGUAGAAAUGGUGACCGAACCCGAGUACCUGGAGGAAGUGGUCUGCCCUGUGCAUUCGGGAGACACAUGGAUGAGCUCACUCAUCCUGUUUUUGGGCCAAGGAAUCCUCCCUGAAGACCGGGUUGAGGCCAAGAGAGUACAACGCAAGGCCGCCCGCUACGCCCUCCCAGACGACGAGUUAUAUAAACGAUCCUAUUUUGGCCAAUUGCUACAGUGCAUUCCCACCGAUGAAGGGUUCUGUAUUCUCAAGGAGAUACACGAGAGCCUCUGUGGGGCACACAUCGGCUAUAAGAUGUUGGCCAAAAAGGCCCUAUUCCUCGGAUAUUAUUGGCCUACCGUUCAACAGGACGCUCAAGAUCUCGUACUUAGCUGUCUUUCUUGCCAGGUCCAUGCCUCCGAACACCAUCAACUCACGAACCUUAUGGUUCCGAUCACCUCGCCCUGACCGUUCGAGCAGUGGGGGACAGACAUCAUCGGACCUUUUCCCAAAGCUAUCGAAGGUUAUACUUUCCUUGCGACCGCCAUGGAUUACUUAUCCAAGUGGGUCGAGACUGAACCUCUAAGAAUCAUCACGGGGCUGGCGGUCCAAAAAUUCUUCUGGAAAUACAUAAUCUGUCGCUUCGGCAUACCUCGGAUGAUCAUUUCGGAUAAUGGAAAGCAGUUCGCUGAUAACCCAUUUAAAACUUGGUGCCAGGACCUCGACAUCAAGCAGCACUUCACUUCGGUAGGUCACCCUCAAGCCAACGGUCAAGCGAAAAACUUUAACCGAACUCUCUUGCACGGUCUGAAGACCCGACUAUACCGAGCAGGAUCAUCUUGGGUAGAGGAACUCCCAAGUGUCUUGUGGUCUUACCGAACCACGCUGAGAUCGGCCACACAAGAGGCCCCCUUCUCCUUGACAUACAGCUCCGAAGUUGUCAUUCCCGCCGAGAUCCUUGCGCCUAAACCCCGAAUGGCAGCCUACGCGGCCGAGGUAAACAGAGAAGAAAGACAGACGGAUCUUGACCUCAUUGAAGAAAAAAGGGACCUCGCCUUAGCACACGUGGUUUCGUACUAGAACACCUUGGCCCGUCACUACAAUGCCCGUGUUAAGCAUCGUCGAUUCUGGCCAGGAGACUUAGUCCUCCGAAAAAACUCGGUCAGUCGAGCUGAACCGCAAGGAAAACUAGCCCCAAAAUGGGAGGGUCCUUACCGAGUUGUGGAAUCUAGCCUAAGUGAGUAUUGUAAAUUAGCCUACCAAGAUGGUUCUCUAGUGCCGAGAAUUUGGCAUGCAGAGAACCUAAGGCUGUAUUAUCCUUAAAAAAUGUAAUGACUUGUUGGUUAUUCAAUCACUCGGUUAUUUUUUAAUAUUUUAGUACCCGUUGCUGCUUAUUAAAAAAUAAGGAGGACGAAUAAGGGACGAAGUGAAAAAGAAAAAGAGAGCCGAGCUCCCAUUCAUUUCAUUAGAUACUGCAAAGAAGAAAUCACUACAAGGUAAUUUGUUUACAAAACGAGUCGAAGUUAAGAAAGUUUCUAAGCAUUCUCCACUUCGACUUCCUUCUCACCAAUCCCCCCGCUGACCUCAUCCUCACCGGUAGCUUCACCUCCGCCGACCUCACCUCUUCGGCAUCCUUUCCCUCCUCAAGCUCUUGGUCAAUCUCGGACAGUCAUCUGUUGAACUCAUCCCGGACCUCGGCCAAGUUUCGUCCAGCUUGGAUACCUUCAGCCAUCCGGUCGCACAGCUCCUUGAAGUUCUCGUUGUAGUUGGCCUUACUCCUGAAGGAAUCCAAGUCUUCGGAGGAAAGGUGAGGAGCGACCUCGUCAAUGGCAGAGGUGUAGCCGAACAUAUAGCUCGGCAGGGUCAAUUCCCCGAAAUCCUUGGUGAAGGUCUCGAACCUCCUGAAAGCCUCCACAGCCGAGGCCCCGGCAUCCUCUAGUGCCUGUUGGUAGGACUUCUUCAACUCUUCCCCCCUCUUUUGCUCCUCUUCGAGAGUCGAUCUGAGGUUGUUUAUGGUAGCCUCGCCUCCUCUUCCUUCGCUUCAGCCUGCUGCAGUCGAUUUUGAAACUCAGUCUUCUCGGACUCCGACACGGCCAGCUUCUUCUCCAACUUUUCUAUUUUAUCUUGGAUCUUGCCAGAGUCUUGCUCCUUGAGCAGGUCGCUAUACCGACGUGCCAUUUCGACCACAAAAGUCGUAGCGGAAACUGUUGCCACCAUGAGGCUCUGGAUCACCUAUUGAGGAGUCAGCUUCUCGGUUCACUCCAAAUCCCUCGGCAAGUUGGAGAACAUAACCAACUCCUGGGCCGCACGAGUCUGGGUACACCGGUCAUUGAUUGAGAGCUGCCAAUUCGGGCACCAGUGCGUAUCGGGGUGCGUCUUGUCUUGCCCAAAAAAUCGAGGUGCGUCUUGUCUUGCCCAAAAAAUCGAGGUGCGCUAUGGAAACGGUUCCACAACGAAGACCCCGUGAUCGGCAUGACCGAGGACUUCACCUGCUUGCCUCGGCCAUGAGGAGGUAGGGCAACGGUGACUCCUUAUGUCGCCACCCCUUCUGGUGCUGACGAGGUGGACUCCAUAGCUGUCGCAGCCGAGUUGCUUUUGGCCGCCGCGGCCGAACUGCUUUUGGCCGCCGCGAUCGAGGUGUUCUUGGCCAACGUCGUCUUGACCACUGGCGCUUGUGUUGUCUUCUUUUUCGGCGGCGGUGCCGAUGUCUCACCCGAUCUCUUCCUCUUCGGUCUCUUAGACACCUCUGCUGAGCCGGAGCUGAUGAUGUCGGAUACUUUAACCACUGCACAAAGAGCAAACAUUAUUAUUUAUAAUAGCCGAAGUAAAGAGAAGGUUAAGAAAGAAAAGUUACAAGACUUUUUAAAUCUAGUGGAAAAGAAGGGGGGUUUCUCAGGAUCAAUGGCACCUCGGCUGAUUCCCCCAUCGACCAGAACUGCCUCAGGAUAAUCCCAACUGUUGAUCCGAAGGCCUGACCCCAUUAACUUUUGAAAGUUCUCUUCGUCCGUGUCUCCUGGGGAAGGGUCCUUCUUGGCCUUGAUGGGCUUCCACAAGAAACCCCAGGGGAAGUCCCCGACUGGGAUGAAGACGAAGUCGCGCUUCCAAUUCUUUAUCGAAGUGGGAGCGUCGACUACGAGUUUUGGGAUAGAAUUGUUCCGGUUGCAGACGUAGAACCACCCCUUAUCCUUCCCAUGUGCCUUGAAGGUGUAGCAUCGGAGAAAGAGAUUAACCGUGGGGGUCACCUCUUGAUGUCGGCAUAGCAUUUCGAACCCCACCAAGAUGCGGACCGCGUUCGGAACGAGCUGAGUGAUCCUGAUCGCGAAAUGCCGAAGUACAUCUCGAAAGAAUCUUGAGGUCGGCAUCCUCAGCCCAACCUCUAACUGCUGCAAGUAGAUCGCCACUGUGCCCAUUGGGAGCCUCUCGGCUGAGUAGUUCGGCCCAGACGACCUUAUAAUAUACCCCGCCCUGAAGGGGUAUUUUCGUAUUACCUUCUCGCUCUAUCUACUCCGACGCGGCUCUUGAACAUCAGCAUCUUGCCGAAGUCAAUGAGGGAGACGUCCCUCGGAGCGACUGGCUCCAGCACGCCCUCGUCAUGGGAGAUUUCGGUUCCGAGAUCAUCAUUGUAUACGACCUCGGAGCCAUCCUCGCUCAUCUCGGAAGAUUCCACUUCCGGGGUGGUCUCGGCGGUUUCUUCCUAGGCAUUGGACGUUCGUUCCUCAGAACUGGACGAGAUCUCGUCUUCUGGGGGAUCGAGCCCUUCCUCGGCAUGGUAGCUCGGUUUCAUGGUUUCUUUGUGGGUUUUACUUGUUCUAGCCAUGUAUAAAAGAUGAGAUGAAAAGAAGGGUACUUACUGUUGACUAGGAAAUCGGACGAGAACGAAAAUCUCGGCUGAGGUCGACUGAAGAAAUUGAUCUCGGCAACGCUCUCGAAUUUGCAGAAGUAUGAGGGAAAAUGAUGGAUAGUGCGGUAAAAGGGACCCCCCAUUUAUAGGGGUUAGAGGGAAUACGAAGAGGCAGCAAGAAUGUGAAGAGGCGGCAGCUUUAAAAUUCAAAAGGACGCGUCUCUCUCUCUCCUCAUUAAUGUCCCGUCCUUUCAACUGCCAUGUUCUCUGCACGUAGCCUCCCACUAUACCACGUCGCAACGGUUACCGAUAAUCUCUCUGCUCACCAUGUCCUUUCAACUGACUCCCCACGUGUCACGCCUCCUCACCAUCUGGUACACGUUGAGACCUCAGAAGCUAAACGGUUUCGGUAUACUGUAGCCUCGGGACCUUGUAAGCCUCCGCGCUCUCGAGGCUUGGGGGGCUUAUUGAAGGCGGUCACUUCGGAUCGUCUUAUCCGAAGUGGUGCCAUGGCCGUGGUUCUUCCUGUCACCUCGAAUAGAUCUCGGCUAGACCUCUGCGGCAUCUUGUGAGCUUCGGCCUUUAUGACCCAGAUAGCCGUCAUAUCUCGGCCGCACGCGGGUGAUGUCAGUUGGCUUGACAGGUCAUUAAGGGUCACCACUUUAACUGAAGCCCCUAGAACCCUUUAUUGGGAAUAUGCGGGACCACCUGACAAGGUGCCUGAACUACUGUCCCUUGUCAGGAACAGAGGCCGCAGGUGCAAAGCAGAGCCGUAAUCCUCAGGAAGUGGGACCCAGUGGCUUAAACCCAUUGUCCUUCCCUCCACUCUCACACUCUAUAAAUACCCCCUGUUCACUCCUCACAAGUAAAACUACUGUUGCGCUCAUACUGUUCAUUACUCUUUGUUUUCUCUCUAUACUGACUUGACCGUCAGAGUGAUCCCAGGGGACAAAGCCCCGCCUCUCACUUCGGAACAGCACCCCUGCUUCCUAAUUUCACUUCACCGAAAGAGAGAACUGAAUUAGGUCAGCUCGGCUACCUAGCCAGAAAUCACAUCUUCAAAUACCAAAUGAAGUAUACCUCUACAGUAUCUUUGUUCUGCUCAAUCUCAGUCCCAGAUGACUUACCCUGCAGAUGAAAUAAUCCAAGUUUAUAAGAUCAAAUCAGAUGCUAGACACUCAGAAAUGCUACAUUUAGCAUGGCUCAAUCUAGAAAUGACACAUAAAAACUUAACCCCCCCUCCCCCUCCCCCCCAAAAAAAAGACCCAUUGCCUGCAAUUGCACCCUCUAAAUGCCUGGCAGAGACACAUUUUACCGUACAUCUCUCUUCUGAUUCAGGUGUAACCACAGGUGCAGAACAAUCUUUCAAUCGAGUGUUGUUAUAACUACCUCUCAGUGGAUACAUUGUCUUGAUGCUUCUGCUAAAGUUGGCAUGGCCAUUAAACGUUUAUGUUCAGAAAUGUCAAAAAUUUUGAUGUUAAAUUUGCUUUAUCUUAAGUUGCAACGCAAUUCAACUUUGUAAAGUCCUGCUAUCAUACUGCUAUAGUGAGAUGACCAAGUGAAUUACCAAUAUUUCUAGUUUCAAUUGCUUAUUAUGUUGGAUGAGAAGAAGGUCAAGGCCAGAGAGAACGAGAAAUAAUAGGAGAAAACAGAAAGCAGAGUUCACUAAGUCCAAAUAGAAAAACACAAAAUUACAUGUAAAAUGAGAAUGAACAGGAUCAAUGGGCAUACCUCGUUUCGAACAAGAACUCCAACAGCAUAGAUAUCCAGCUCCAACAGGUGGCAGCCAUGGUGAGGUAAGAGUCUAGAAAGGGACCACAAGCCAACAUAUUAUAUAUAGAUAUUACUAGUAAUAUAAAUAAAUGAAACGAGAUUCAACAGAAAUCUCACAGAUAAGCAAAUCCUGGCCAUAGUAAUAACAUAAAGAUAUGAGACAAAAACUCUUUGAAGACAAAGAAACUCAUGCAUUCUCAGUUAUAGAACCAAACUAUGGACGAUCUAUGUUUUAGUUUUUAGUUCACAAAAACUUUGAUCAGCUAAAAGGAACUUUAAUACUUCAAGAAUUCUAUCAGCUUCAUUAUAUCAGGAAAAAACAAAAAACUGGAUCAUGUGGAAGCCCGUUGAGACUACGGAUUUUGCCAUCAGGAAGUAUAGCGCAAAUGCUAGGAAGUCUACCAGUUAUAAAGAUACUUCUUAUGGAUUUGCAGCGGCCUUAUCAGGUCCCUGAUCAGAUAAACUCUUAGGAGCUGUGUCACUAUGCUGUUGCAAGGUUUCAUUUAUUAGAUGUUCAAAAGCAAUUACUACAUCAAAUGACUAAAUUUCUGUCAUAAUUUUCCACGCUUGUAUUAUUCAGAUAAAUCAUAUGAGUGAUGAAAUCAAAAAGCAGGAUAUAUGCUUUGUCAUUGAAACUCUAGGAUCAGCAUCAGAGUAAUAGUUCUUGGAAUCAUACUCUAAUAACCUUAAUUUCCCUCCGUUAACGCUUGAUGUAAGAAAAUUUGCUGUUGAAGAAUUCUUUUCCAAAAGCAUAAUGCUAGAAAGCUAGCUUCUUGGGAAUUUUUUCGAAAGCAUAAUGCUAAUACAUUUGAUGGUUUCACUUCUUUUUUUUAUCUUUUCAUUAAUCUAAAUUUAUAGAGAUAGAUAUAUUUUUUACUUGUGAUUUCUUAUAUUUGAAACUUUUGAGAUUAUUUGGUACGUUGUUCAACAAAAAAAAAACAUUCUAGAUUAAAAUAUUAGGAAUAUUAAAUACCCAUAUGAGACAUUAUGAUGUAAAAGUUGUACUAGUUAAGAUUCGAAUUAUAUUUCAUAUAGUUCUAAAUUUAAGAAAACAAUUAUUCCAUGCUAAACUGAACGAUAAAUUUCUAGAAAAAAGAAAAAAGCUAAAACAACUUACCAGAGAGAUAAUUUGUAUAUCAUCAGCUGGUUUUUUUUUUUUAUAAUUCUAAACAAUCUAUUCUUAAGAUAGAUAAAGUUUAUGAUUGGAACAAACGCCCUCAUGCCUAUAUAAUAGAUUAACCAAGAAUUAAUUUUAAAAAAAAAACAAAAUGCCUUAUUAUUUGUCAAAGUGGGUGAUGUCGUUUCAUCUCUGCUGGAACAUUUUUGAAGAGUUUGCCUUGGUUCCAGAAUCUGUUGUAUUACCGAUUCCCAGUCAAGCAAUUUCAACAGGCGUGGUCUUUUUAUAUGAGAACAUCACCACGCCUUCUGUUAUCCAAAAGCCCAUCAGAGGCAUUUCUCCUCUACUAGCUAGCACCACGCCUUCCAGUUCCACAAGUAGUCACCACUUGAGAUAGGGCUCUCCCAAUAUUUUACUGUCUUAAAAUUUUCAUAAUACAUAGCUGCAAAAUGGAAAAGAAACAAGAAAAAGGAGAAACCCCCCCCCCCCCCAAAACAAAGGAAAGGGCAAGAAGCCAAGAACUCCAUAGUUUGUUCUAGUCUACAAGAUGGAAACAAAAUUGAGAGUUAUCCAUGACAUAUCAACGAUAAAAUCUCUCUUUUUAAAAACCACUUAAAUUUAGCUAGAUUUUUUGGGUUAAAGCAAUGGAAAGAGGUGUCUACCUUCAAGCUCCAAAAGGGGGGAAAUGGGGAAAAAAGGAAAGAUGAAGAAAUAAGUCAAAAUAAUUAUAAUUGUCAAUCAAUAUAUUUCAUAAACUUAAGAUUUUUAUUUUUUGAACAAAAUGAACUCAAGAAUUAAGAUCAGACAAUAAGCCCGAAAGUCACACUAGUGAUAAAGAUAUUGUAUGGCUCUUUCACCUUUUUGCUUUUCAUUUAUGUGCUUAAUUUGUACAUUCUUAUCAUUCCCUUUGCCAAAUUUUUCAUUAGAUAUCACAUAAAUGAGAGGUUUUAUUAUGAUGUUAUAAAAGUAACAAAGUGCCAUUAACAAAUAGAAGAAUGCCCAAUAUCACCUCACAAUCCUAAAAAUAAAAAUACCAUAAUUACCAUUUUGACUCUUAUCCCAAUGAUCUUUUGUUCCCUUCUCACAUUACUCUAGGAUGGAACCUUGGGCCAAGGCAUGUUAUCUGAACUCUAUCACUACGUACAAGCAGCAGACAAGGAAAAAGUAGACCAGGAGACAAUCUUGUUCAAUAUCCUUGAACUGCUCUGAAUAAAGUUGAAAAAGCUAAAAAUUCCAAAGUUGAGUUGAUUAUAACAGUAGCAAUUUUUGACAAAAUUGCAGGUCUCUUUGGCAUCUGCUUGAUUACAACAUAACAUAGGAUUCUUACGCUACAGCCUGCUUUUCACCUUAUAUUCUUGCCAAAUCUUAGAAGACAACUCUUCUCCAUCACUGAAAUUUUGUGUAGCAGUAGUAAUAAUGUCAUCAAUGAUGAGAGGAAAUUCAAGAUCAUCAAUUGAAUCAUCCUGCAAUGGAAUUGUUCGUAGAAUGGUAAGCCUUCCCAGGAGCAUUUUAGGGGGUGUUUCCAGAGCAAUGGGACAAGGUAUGGACUUUAUUCGAAUAGGAGGAAGAAGACACCAUCCUCAUCAACAUCAUCAUCUACCAUUAGCAACAGAUUUUCCAUUUGAGCAAUAUCCCUCAUCAGAUCCUCCCGUGAAUGAUCCAUUCAAUCAACCUUCACAGAAUUUUCAGCAGCAACCGAUGGUACAAGAGGAAUGGGCAUUUCUAGCAAGUCUGGAGCAGGAAUAUGGCACAAAUCAUCCAUUUUUCUACGUUUGUCGGUUCAUGGAUGCUCUGAAGAUGGCUCAAGAAGAGCACAAGUUCAUUUUCCUGUACUUGCAGUCCCCUGAGCACCAAUUCACUCCCUUUUUCUGCAGGGAGACUUUAGGUUCUGAGCUGGUUGUUCAGUUUCUUGAUGCAAAUUUCAUUAGCUGGGGAGCACUUGCAAACAGAGGGGAGGGGUUCCAUUUGGCUUCAACAUUAAGGGUCUCCAACUUCCCAUUCUGUGCUGUGGUUGCUCCAGCUUCUGCUGGCAAUUUAGCAGUUCUGCGACAGGUAAGAGGAAAUUUUAUACAGAAACUUCAUUCCGUUUUGAAAUGUUUAUAAGCCUAACAUUUGUUCAUUAUGUGCACCUGAAUAUGAAACCUCAACAUGACUAGAAUGCCUAUUGCCUAAACUAGUUGGUUUUGUGUACAAUCAAAAGGUUCAGUAUAAAAAGAUUUUAAUUGUCCUGCAUUUCAGAUUAAAUUAUCAGCAAAUAGGAACAAAGAUAUCCCCAAAUAUUAGGUGUUGGCUGAUAUCUCAGGUCAAAGUAGCUAUAGCCCGUACUACCUGGGAUUCUGCUUUCUCAUUUUUGCUGUGAAUAUGAUCGCAAAAGAAGGAAAAUACUCCCAAGAAAGUUUAGAUUUAUCUUUUCUGAUGAUAUGGUCAUGCCUCUUGUAAUGGUAGUAUAGUGCACUGAGGGGAGACUACUAGCCAUGAUUGGGCUCAUACAUCAAAGCAGCAUCUUUUCCAUCUUUUUUUGAUGUGUUUUCACAUUGAAAUUCUCAAGUGUUAAUUCAGUUGUUUCAAUUUCAAGACAUGUUCUUCCAUGAAAAAUCUGAUGCAUCUGAACUUCCUUACCAUCAUUAUACAUUGAUAUGUCACAUGUAUUUGAUUUGUGAAAGAAGGGAAACUCUCUGACUUGCCCUGUGUAGAUUGAAGGUCCAGUCUCCCCUGCUGAAUUGGUGGAGAUACUACAAAGGACCAUGGAGGAGCAAGGACUGGCAUUUGACAGUGCAAGGGCCAACGAGGAAGAAAAAAGAAGAGCAGAUCGUAAAUUGAGAGAAGAACAAGACGUUGCCUAUGUUACAGCCCUCCAGAGAGAUCAGGUGCACUUUUGCUCAAAAUUAGUCAAGCUUCGAUUAAGUUAAUGUCUGAAUCAAACCAGUAGGAAACAGGCUUUCCCAUUUGUACAGGAGAAGGAAAAGCUCAGGAGUUUCGCUUCAGAACAAAGAGUUUCAAAAGCUGCAAGUGCCUCCAAUUCAUCUAAUCAAGAAAAAACCAAGCCACUUCCUCUAAAGCAGCAAAACAACCAAAUCAAGGAUGGCCCAAGAGCAGGAGGAGCUAUGCAUAAAGGAAAUGCUCAAGAAACCAAGGUAUUUGAUCAAGACUUAUCCUCUUUAUAGUCUUGUAAGAGUAUGCUUUGGUCCAUAAUAUUUCAUAUGCCCAUUGAGCUUGAUCUGAAGAAUGAACUCCUCAUCUUUCUGUGUAGAUAUUGAUAAGGUUUCCAAAUGGGGAGAGAAGGGAACACAGCUUCUUGAGCACAGACAAGGUUCAAGCAAUUUUUAGGUACAUUAAUUCAUUAGGCUUGCCUGGAGUUGGCGGCAAUUACAGGCUAAUUUCUAACUUCCCAAGAAAGGUGUUUAGUGUUGAUCAGAUGGGAAUGACGCUGACAGAGGCAGGCCUCCAUCCAAAAGCUAGCAUGUUCUUGGAGCUUCUUUGACCAUAGAAGUUUCUUUUCCUUGGUACGUUACUGAAGUUUCAGAAUACAAAUUAAAGAAAUGUUUUCAGCAUCUCACUUUGUUGUUAUGGAGACUUUGGGUAGCAAGUAAUAUUAUUUAUAAGUAAUAAUAAAACUUUUGCUAUAAUUCGUUACUUUCCUUUCUAUAACAAAUUUCAAUCAACGUAGUGAUUUUCUACUUUAUAUAUGUUUUUUUUAUUGAUUUUGUCUUUUUUUUUAAUCCAUGAAUCUACAGUUCCAAAUGCUGUUCAGUUUCUGUUUUUCUAAGUUGAUGAUUUUGCCUACACCCACACACACACAUAUUUCCCUAUAAUUCAUCAAUUAUAAAUUUCAUUCUAAUUAAUUUCCUUUCACUCUCCAGCAUACCAAAAAAAAGAUAUAUUCUAUCUCCUAAUUAGAAAAUUCAAAAUUAGUUACCUGUUUUUUUGCAAUCACGAUCGCAUGCUGCUUAUAUGGAUAUCUUUUGUUCUUUUUCCUUUACAGGAUUUUUUCAUAUUAAUUUCUUUUCUUUAAAUUUUUUUAAAAAAGUAAUCAAAUAUUGAUUAUACUUUCUAAGGUUUGUUAAGAAUUAAUCAUUAUGUUGUGUAAGGGUAACUAUUUUUAUACAUCUUUUAGUCUCAAUAUUUUGUUUUAUAUUUAGUAUUUUAAAAUUUAUUAAAUUUGUCAUCUUAGUGCUUUUGUAUCCAUGACCAUCUGAAAGAAAUAUCGAAGAUGAAAAGAAAAGCUCGUGCAAAAGACUAGUUCUUAGAUAGAAGAACGUUUAGGCUGAAGUGGCUCAGGGUAACUACUGCUUUGGUGCUUGUCCUCUUCCAAAGGAUCCACCAAAUACAGUAACUAAUCCUGGACACUGAGCUAAUAAGACAGUAAAUAAUCCUGGCCAUGAAACUAAUUUAAGAUUAGUGCUGGCAAUCCAAUUCAACCAAAGAAGUAAAGGCGCACUCCAGCUCGGAAUCAGCUGCUUAGAACUGUUUUAUCUAUACCACCACGAAGCUCAUUCCUGCAAAUUUCUGGUGGGAACAGAGACUUGCUUAAGCCCGCAGCCCUGCUCUCACGCCAGCCUUGCUUGUACACCCUAGAUAUGCAAGAGACGUUUUUUCCAAUAUGCAAAGCUAAAAAUUGUCUAAUCCCGGCAGAGAAUAUAUCUCGAAGAGCAAAUUUCGAAACUUACCAUGCAUGUGAUACGAAAACAUGUGCAGAUGCUGACUGCUGAGCGUUUGCCUUUGUAAUGGAAAGAUCCUAACAUGCAUAGCUGGCUGCCUUGCCGCUUUCCCCUUCAUCCCCAAUCCUUAGGAUGAAUACUGGGGAUCAUAUGCUUUAGACUGCCAAUUUAGGGAGCACAUAUGGUGCAUACAAAGAAGCAGCAAGUGAAAUAAGUCCUUGUUAUUUAACCAACACACUUACCCGCUUAAUCAGUAAAAUUAAUAUAUCAAAGAAUCAUAAUCUACUCUUUAACAGUAGCCGAUACUUGAAAUCCAAAAGCCAAUUAAUUGCAGUGCAUGCAGUAAUAUGGCUUCUGCCCUAGAUGGCUCUUCAAACCAAAAGAAGAGAUUCCACCCAUAGCCAUCAAAAAACAAUGCAUGUAAUUAACACGGACCACAGGAUUGCAGAUGGCGCAGCAAAAGAAUUGCAAAAGGCUUCAAAAAAUGGUAGCAUCAAUUAAGGUAUCAAAAAGAUUUCUUUUCAUAAGAUACCAAACCAUGAACUCCACCUUCGACUUGUGCUGCUCCACUUCGAACCUG